This 65053-nucleotide long non-coding RNA is filed under the name Ananas comosus (pineapple). RNAcentral describes it as "long non-coding RNA (ACOM_LNC010505)". The record is from RNAcentral. Lineage: Eukaryota; Viridiplantae; Streptophyta; Magnoliopsida; Poales; Bromeliaceae.
ACCUAAAAAGGACAAAGUUUCUGCGAAGGUCUCUAUAACAAAAUUAAGUCAUAGGGACAUAUUUUAUUUUUGGGACACUUUUAUAUAAGUGUCUCAUUUAUGCGAAAAUUUUUUAAGAAAAUCUACUAAGACUUAAAUAUAAAAUACAGUGACUAAUUGGGUAUACGAUAUAAUCAUAACUAAUUAAUAAAAGAAAUAUUUCAGUAAAAAAUUACUAGCCAUAAAUUUCAGAAAUAAGUAGAAGUGGUAAAGUGAACAUUAAUUCAAAAACUGCAAUUAAAUUUGAACAGUAAAAAGGAAAAAAAAAAGGGAAUAGUAUUAAUCAUUUUUUUCCCGUAAUAAAGCCCUAAGAUGCACAUGGUGUGCAUCCCAUGUUACUAUACAUAGAAAUUUCUUUAGAAUGCAAAAUUGCUCUGUUAAUUAACAUCAGUGUUUUUUUUUCUUAAAUAAUUCUGAUAAAUAUGUAUAGAACUAGAAAAAUAACUAUAUCCAACGAAAGUUAUCGGGCGUAUCGAUAAACCCGCUAAAUAUAUACUCCCUUCGUUCAGGACGAAAAAAUAAAAAUAAUAGAAGCAUAUUUAGUUUUUUACUUUUUUUUUUUAACAUUAUAGUCUGAAAAAAUAUUUUUGCUAAGCUCAAGCCUAAUUCAAAAGUGUUAGGACUACAUAGCAUAAAUCUUAUAUAGUUAUACAAAAGUAAUAUGAAACCUACUUGACACCUCUUAACCUGAAAUGGACAAAGUUUCUGCGAAGGGCCCAGCUAUAGCUUUAGGCAAAACUGUAAAUUAUUAUGACAAUCUAUUCGAAUUUUGUAUAAAAUUAGUACAAUCACUAAUUGGGUAUAUGACAUAUACUCAUAACUAAUAAAAGAUAUAUAUAUAUUUCAGUAAAAAAAAUUACUGGCCAUAAAUUUCACAUGGCAUGCAACCCAUGUUACUGCAUGUACAUAGAAAAUUUCCUGAAAACGCAAUAAAUAACAACAGUGCUUUUUUCUAAAAAAGUUCUGAUAAAAAUAUAUGGGACUAGUAAAAUAAUUCCAAUCCAGUAGAUAUGUCAGUGUAUAAAGCCGGAUGAAAGUAUGACUAAAUCAAAAUUGGCCUACAAAAUAUAAACUAUGAUCUAAUAUCAUAUAUAUUGCAGGACUCGAACAGACCCCAAAAAUAUCAGAUAUGAGAUUAAUAUUCUUAAUAGCUUUUAAUUACUAAUUAUUUUAGUUUUAUUUGCCAAAAAAUAAAGACUAAUAAAUUUGAUGAAAAUAUUAACAAAUCUGAUAAGUCUCAAAACUAUAGACAAAAUUGACUAAAUUCUAAUAAAAAUAUUAGUGAUUUUUCUCUCAUCAUUGUCCCAUAAAACUUGAUUUAAAAAAAAUAAUAAUAAUCUAGUAAUAAACAGCAAAAAAACCUAAUAUUUUUAAUUUUUCGGUCAUAAAAUGUUUAUAAGUUUUAAAUAACUUCUAAUAACUUUCUAAAAUAUUGAGCUAAGUUUAGUUAAACCACAUGUCUAUACACGUGGACCAUGCAAUUUUUUACUCCACUUCCCACUCUAUAAAAGCAACGUGGAAGAAAAACAACCACCAAAGCGUCUCAAUAGCCAUGGCAAUCAAGUUAGUUUUUGUUGUGAUCCUUAUUCUCUUUUCUACCACAGUUGAAGCAAACGUUGGAGUUACCCCAGCAGUAAAUGGGCUUUCCCGAGUCAAACACGAUGGUGAUGGUGCUAAGUGUUGCAUGCAAGGCUGCUGCGGUAAAUGCUGCACAAUGAAUCCAAAUGGACUAUUUGGGGGGAGAUCCAAAUUCGUUCCUUAGGCAAUUUUAUCGUUGUGUGGCACUUGAGUAUUUGUGCAUUGAUGUUGGGUUAUUCUAUGUAGUAGUUUGAUUAUGUUUGUUGUGAUUUCGUUUUUAGAAAGUAUGUAUUGUGUGCUGCCAUAUAGGCACUUUAUGAGUAUGUAUGUUGUUAUAAAUAUGUUGAAAUAUAUUAUUGUAUCACUGAUAAUAUUAUAUAUAUUGAUAUUAAUCCGUCUCUGGAUACACAGAAUGUUUCUUUUGAAUAUUUCUGUACAAGCUAAUCUUUCAAUUGUUGAGAGAAAGUUCAAAUUUUUGAGAUAUAAGGUAUGAAACUAACAUAACACUUAAAUUUUUUUUUAUGCUCACUAGUGGAGUACUUAAGUUCUGCUCACAAAACUGAUUUUAUAGUGGAGUAAAGUCAAGAGCAUUAUAUAAGAAUUUCAUUUUGACAUUUAGGAGUUAAUUUUCACGCGUAAACUCCUUUCUUCUAGUAUCGGUUAUCUUCAGAAAUCUUUAUUCUUUCACUUUUUCGGGAACACCUCGGUUGAGGUUGUUAGUCAACUGGGUAAAAACAGUAUUUGCGGUAAGUAGAAAAAUAGAUCCAGUGUAAUGAAAAAUAAAAAGAGAAGUGCUUAUUUUUCCUUUUGGUGAAAAUGUAUAGAAGAAUGUAUAAACUAUGUAAGUUUCUAAAUUUUGGUUUUUCUACUUAAUCUUUCAAUUUAUUUUAUUUAACCUGGAUGAUUUUCAAUUCAAAAUUUUGGUCAAUUAUUUAUUUUAAUGGAAUUAUAAUUUUGUAAUAGCUUCUAAAUUUAGAAACUCUUAAUUAGCUCUGAUGCUCUAUUAUACUCAUAUUAUAUAUGACAUUAUACAAAUUGGUGUAUAUUUUUUGUUUCGUGCGGUCUUGGGGCAUGACAUGUUCCACAAAUCUGUUCUAUACGACAGGACGGGUUCUAUGGGACGGACCUUCGAGCGUGAAAGAUUCGGUUGACAUCUAUAUUACGAUUCAAACCAAUCCACACUAUUACACCUCCCACUCAUGACCAAAAAUUAGGAAAAUUUUAUUUACAAUGUGAAUUUUCAAUAGAAAUGUACAUAACACACCUACUUUUGAAUCUCAGGAAAUUUCUUGAUCAGAUAAGUACUAACUUACCUCGGCCUCCUAUAAUUCUGAGCCUUUUGCUUUAAACAUUUAAUUAUACAAUUCUCAAUCUGGUAUUUAAGCAUCCAAUAACACAAACUUAUUUGAUCUCCCCUUUUAUAUAUAUUUUCAUUAAUUUUGUAAGAUCUAAUAUAUAUACCAUCCGUCACGCCCUGUGCAUACAAAAGAUAUCUUUAAGUUGAUUAGAUGCUUCUUGUAAUGUCACUAUACCUAAAUAUUGCACUAUCGCAAACAAGAAACAAUUUAUACCAGUUACUUUUAAGUUAAGUAGAUCUUUUAAGAUACAGUUAAAUUCUAUGUACACACAAAAUCUGUUUAAGUUAAUUUAACUGUUUCAGACUAAAUAUACUACAUAACAAUAUAUAUAUCUUUGCUAAAAAUCUGAUCCUUCUGACCAGUGAGACGUGCUGGGAUUUGAGCUACUACUAAUACUCGACAUUUAAAGUGUUCCUCUCUUUUCGAACACUAUUAAUGCUUUUGAUAAUGCCUAUACUUAGAGAUUUUACACAAUAUCACAAUUAAUCGCACCGCCUUCCUUCAAAGAUCAAUUCUUGAGCUGCGUCGAUCUUCUAAAACACUGCUUAGUAUUAGAUAUUUUCGGAGGCAAAUGAGUUAGAUCAUCAAAUUCAAAAAUGUUAUAGCACUGAUCAACUGAUCCAUGGAAAAUUCAACUUAUUAACUGAAUAUCGAAUGACAUUUGGUAGUAGCAGAAUUAGUAUUCUUCUCGGAAUGGAGACAAAUUCGACUCGACGCUGAUAAAUCCAGUAGACCUGGGAGUCAAGUCAGUCAAAAGGCAGGGCAUCCUUCAGCAUGUACGCCACGAGCAGUCGGGCACGUAGCAAGGGGACAAUGGUCGGACACAUCCAAGCCCCACCAAUCAAUCCCGCUGACGUUGUGAAUUUGGAGGGUCACAGUUACUAAAAAUGCCAUCAAAGAGACUCCUGUAUCAAUUGCAACUGAUAGCAGAUAGCUGUACUUAGCCCACCAUCUUUUGUACUUUCUAUACACCACGAACUUCAAGAAGAAAGCAACGGCGAACCAUGACAGGUAGUUCACGGCACUAACGGGGGGCAUGGAUGCGCCGGCAAUUAAGAUGGUCGAUACAUUGAUGAGCCUGAUCCAUUUUUUCUCAGGAAGAGUGCGAGCAAGAAACCAGACGGGGAUUGGAAGGAGGGCGCCCAAGAGAAAGAAGAUGAAAAGAUUGGAAUAUACACCAUUAGGGUAGAAAACGCGUUUCGGACCCACAGCACCCCAAGUCAUCAUGUUGUUAUAGAUCACUUGGUCAUAAGGGCAUGUCCAUUGACUUCCCCUAGGCAGCAACUCUGGCCGGCAUAUAUUUUCGACUGAAGAGAAGAGCAACCACACUGUAGCAAAUUCACAAGCAGAUGCGAUGAAGGAGCCAAUGACCUAUCAUGUGAAAAUGAAACACGAUAGUAAACUUGUUUAUGCCAAAAAAAAAAAAAGAAAAAAAAAAGAAAAGGCAAGGUUAAUGUGGGAAUGUAUUUUUGUAGUCAAUAAAAUUUCACAACAAAAGAGAAUUAACGAUAAUUUCACAGCUAAAAAAGAAUGUGGGGUGAACUUCAAUUUGCUCCCCUUUGGCAUAGUGCAUUUUUACGUUGCCACCGGCCUUGUGACUUAAACAGUUGCACUUACCUACUAUGCGGUUUUUUUUUUUUCAUUUCACAAAAACAACUUGCUAUCAAAAAGGAUAUCAAAAUGAAAAAAAAUUUUGAAAAAACCACAAGAAGCAUUUGUUUAAUAAUAGGUUUCUAUAUUAAAAUAAAAAUAAAAUCACUGUACCUUUUUGAACCGGAAGGUGGCAAAGUAAGAAAAUGCACUAAAAUAUAGGAUAAUUCAGCACAACUUUUUGAACCACGUAGUGACGAAGCAAAAAUAUGCUAAAACAUAGGGGGGCAAAUUGAAGUUUACCCAAAUAUUUGUAUAGCAUGGAAGUAAUAUUUUGCCGUGUAGUUUGCCAUAUUUCUUCUUUCACUUCAGUUGGAUCACUUUCAAGUCUCCAAGUGCAACAAUAUAUCCAUCCAACCACUAAGUUUUUCUUUUUCUUUCACCUUAGACUCCGACCACAGAGUUGGAUAACAUAAUUAUGCAAUAACUAAGCAAGAGCUUCCGCCCAACUAAUGGUCGGCAUGACUCAUGAGAAAGUUAGUUUUGGAAGUAUAAGCAAGCUAAUUAUUUUGUUUGCAACCAACAUGAUGCUUGUGAGUUACGCGUAUCGUCAAUUCUUAAUUACUAGCGUUUGGUUCAAGGAUGGGGGGGGUAUAAGAGUUAUCCCCUCCCCCCCUUUAUACCCAAAGGCAAAAUGCUAUGGGUGGGAUCAACGGGUUAUCCUAGGAUAACCCGUCCCACCCCUAUUUUUUAAAAAAAUUUAAAUUUAAAAUUUAUAAUUUUUAAAAUUUAUAAUUUGUAAUUUAAAAAUUAAAGUUUAUAAUUUAAAAUUAUAUUUUAUAAUUUUCAAAUUUAAAACUAUAUUUUAUAUUUUUAAAAUUUAAAAUUUUAUAUUUUUUAAAAUUUAAAUUUGAUCUUAAAUUUAAAAUUUUAAUUUUGAAUUUUGAAAUUUAAAAGUUAAAAUUUUAAAUUUAAAAAUUUAAAUUCAAAUAUAAUGAGAGGGGUAAUAUCAUUAUUUUUCUAUUUAUAACUACCUACUAUACUAUUCUUCUUAUUUCAUUUUAUCUAUCCAAACGCUAUUUUUUUAUUCCCAGGAACAACUCAAUUUUGAUCCAAAUGCAAAAUUGGUCUAGUUCUUGAUUAUACCUGAACUUAUACCUAUUCCUGAAAUAAGCAGUUCUUAUUUAUACCCGAACUAAACGAAGUCUUUAGAGCCCAACUAAUGGAGUCGAAAAAUGUCAUAGGCAUUCUUACAACCUUGCUCUGAUAUAAACUAUUCAAUGAUAUUUAUUGAAUAUAAUCAAACACUCCAUACAAAUGAUGGAAAGACAUACCUUUGAAACAAACAAAAAUAUGUGUUCAAAGCAUUGUACGACCACAAAAUGAACAGUCAAACAUUGAACAAUCGCUUGAAGAUAGAGAACUGGAUUAUUUCAUUUAACAUCUGGAUUGUGGAACUUGCCUCGGAAGUGACUAGAACUUUCGAUUAAAAAUCCCUAUUUGCGUUGUAUUGCAACAUCACUAAAUGAGAAAAUAUUCAUACGAUAUUUGCCAUAAAAAAUUGUCACUUUCAAGACCUUUCGAUUGUAAGGUCGUGGAGAUAAAAGUAUAUGAAAUUUAGUUUUCCUAAUACUUCAAAUACCUUAUCGAGUUGAACAGUAUGAAACGUAGAUUUGGAAGCCCUAUCAUUGCAAAAAUUUUAUGCUCCUUUUAGAAUGGAAGCUUUUUAGCAGAAUAUCGAAUACUUUUAGAUCACGCAAAAACCUUAAAAGACUCCAAAAAAUUAGUAAUAUCUACAAGAUCAUGCAUAGCUUGUAUUUCUCUUACCUGUGAAAGGAACAUUGCCUUUGGAGGAAUCUUCAUGUAGAGCCCAAGCUUGAAACUAGAAAUGGCAGUAAGACCACAAUCAACACACAUCAUAGCAUAGGCUUCAAAAGUAGCAUUAGCCAACGGCUUCCCAGGAUACACAUACCCCAUAAUCAUUUGCGUAAAGGCACCCAUAGGCGGUUGCUGCGACAAAUGAAGCACCAAAUACAAUUAAACAAGGUGGGGAAUAAGGUAAUCACAUUAAAGGUGGCGGUGCCAUAAAAAAAAUGUAGAAAAUGAAAAAGUCGAUUAUGUAAAUCCGAUAAAAUUCUAAGUCAAAUAAUUGACUUUAGCAGUGAAAAAUGAGUUGAUAAAGAUAUAAGGGACUUCAAUAUUGAUUGCACAAAAUAGUAACAAUGUAUACAUGCCCAUGCAUAGACAAUAUUUCAUUUUUCUUGAAAUUAAACAUAGAGAGACAAUCAGGAAGAGCCUUAUUCCACCACUGUCAUCAAAUCCCAAUUAAUAUCAGGGACUUUUUUGUGGAUAAAAACUAAUAUGUGAAAUAUAAUAAAUUAAUUAGCAAGGCAUUAUUCUUUAUCAAUGUUCUAAAAUGUGAUAUGUGGUAUCCGGGCAGUCGAACCACCGCAUAGUACGUAUGCAGCAUGUAAAUGCAUAUUUGGAUGUAUAUGUGGUACAUCUACUAAAAUUAAAAAUAUAAAUAUAAAUAUAAAUGUAAAAAAGAACUAAAAAGUUUUUUAAAAUAGGAACAAUCAGCUGUGAAAUAAAUGAGCUAAAUAUUUAUACAGAAUAAUAAUGUUUUUUAAGUAAAAUGUCAUUCGUGAUCACUUGUAGUCAUCUAAUAAACAUGCCAACACUUAAAAAUAUCUAGCAUAAUAUUAUCUAACAACUACAAAAACAUUCAUCAAUGUUUAGAAACAUGGUUAUCAGAUAUAUUAGGAAUAAUAGCAAUUAAAAUAAGAAAAAUAGUUAUAUUAUAUUUGCAUAAAAAUAAUUACAUUUAUAUACAUGAUUACUAACUAAAGUUAUGUUAAAAUAGUCAUAUAUAUAUAUAUAUAUAUAUAUAUAUAUAUAUAUAUAUAUAUAUAUAUAGAGUUUGACUGGGCUACUAUCGUAGUAAACUGCUCGGUUUACUACCGAUUUGUUUUUGAUGAUAGAGCUUCCAAAUCGACGAUCGGCACCGUUGAACAUGAUCUAGACCAUUUUAAACUAUCUAGAAAUCAAAUUUCAUGAUUUUUUGGCAUCACUAACUGAACGAUCAAAGGGUCACAAAAUCUUAAUUUUAAUGACUGAUAUGGUGUGUUGCUCGUUUAACAAUAUAGAAGAGUUCAAAUCAAUAAAUUUUUUGUUAAAAAAUUCUUAAACUAUUUAAAAUAAGAUCUAGACUCUAAAUCUCAAAUAUAAAAAUUGUAUCAUCACUUUUUGAAGGAUAUUCAUUUCCAGCCAUUCAUUUUUCUGUUCACUUGAUGGACAAGAGAACAUAUAUCGAAAAUGGUGUGAAAUUUGAUUUCCAGAUAGUUUAAAUAGUUUAAAUUUGUUUAACGGUGCCGAUCAUCAAUUUGGAAGCUCUAUCAUCGAAAACAAAUCGUAGUAAAAACGAGCCGAUAUAACCGGAAGUAUUUUAACAAAACUCAAUAUAUAUAUAUAUAUAUAUAUAUAUAGAGAGAGAGAGAGAGAGAGAGAGAGAAUUAAGCUCCUAUGCUUUUAAAAGUACUAAGUUAUUGGUGCUUGUAGAUUUUUAGCCAUUGGAUUAAGAGAUAUGCGGUUAGGAUGAUGUGGGCCCCCUAGGGUUGAGUGGGUGGUCGGUUGAAUAGUAUAAUUUAAUGGUUGAAAAUGAUCCGAGGAGUAGAUCUAACGGUAAAAAACUUACAAGCACCAAGUGCUUAGUGCUUUUACAAGCACCAUAGCUGGACUAUAUAUAUAUAUAUAUAUAUAUAUAUAUAGUAGGGCUACUCUGCUAUCGGAAACAUAGAGGAUCUGGUGCUUCCUACUUUUUGGCCCUUAGAUCAACCUCUUUGAUCAUUUGUAAUCAUUGAAUUAAUACUAUUACCCUGUGGGGACCACUCAACCCUAGGUGUACUACUAAACACUGGGGGAAUCGCAAUCAUCCCAACCGUACAAUUCUUGAUCCAAGGGUCAAAAAGUCAGAAACAUCAAAUCCUCUAUGCUUCCAAUAGAAUAGUAGCUCUACACUAUAUAUAUAUAUAUAUAUAGAGAGAGAGAGAGAGAGAGAGAGAGAGAGAGAGAGAGAGCUUGACUGAGCUACUAUCAAUAGUAAACGGCUCGGUUUACUAUUGAUUUGUUUUUGAUGAUAGAGCUUCCAAAUCGACGAUCGGCACCGUUGAGCAUGAUCUAGACCAUUUAAAUUAUCUAGAAAUCAAAUUUCAUAAUUUUUUGACAUCACAAACUGAACGAUCAAAGGGUCACAAAAUCUGUAAUUUUAAUAGCCGAUAUGGUGCGUUUGCUCGAGAGUUCAAAUCAACUAAAUUUUUGUUAGAAAAUUCUUUAAACUAUUUAAAAUAAGAUCUAGACUCUAAAUUUUAAAUACAAAAAUUGUAUUAUCACUUUUUGAAGGAUAUUUAUUUUCAGCCAUUCAUUUUUCUGUUCACUUGAUGGACAAGAAAACAAUAUCGGAAAUGUGUGAAAUUUGAUUUCUAGAUAGUUUAAAUAGUUUAGAUCAUGUUUAACAGUGGCGAUCAUCAAUUUGGAAGGUUUAUAAUCGAAAACAAAUCGGUAGUAAAUUGAGCCAUUUACUAUCGAUAGUAUUCUAGCAAAACUCUAUAUACAUAUAUAUAUAUAUAUAUAUAUAUAUAUAUAUGUAUAUAGAGUUUUGCUAGAAUACUAUCGAUAGUAAAUGGCUCAAUUUACUACCGAUUUGUUUUCGAUUAUAAACCUUCCAAAUUGAUGAUCGCCACUGUUAAACAUGAUCUAAACUAUUUAAACUAUCUAGAAAUCAAAUUUCACACAUUUCCGAUAUUGUUUUCUUGUCCAUCAAGUGAACAGAAAAAUGAAUGGCUGAAAAUAAAUAUCCUUCAAAAAGUGNCAUAUAUAUAUAUAUAUAUAUAUAUAAUUCGGCUACUAUACUCUGAUAAGUACAAUACCUUUAUACUCAUAAGUUAUUUUCGAUGAUAGAACUUCUGAAUUAACAAUCCAUAUCGUUAAACAUGAUUUAGAGCAUAUGAAAGUUCUAGAGUCUGGCUAUGAUUCUUUUAAAAGCUUCAAACAUUUGGUGCUUGUAAAUUUUCCGCCGUUAGAUCUACUCCUUUGACCAUUUCCACACCUUAGGUUAUACUGUUUGACCAACCACCACUCAACCCUAGAGGAGCACUAUCAUCCUAACUGCAUAUCCCUUAAUCUAAGAGCCGAAACCUACAAGCACUAAUGCCUUGGUACUUUUAAAAGCAUAGGAGUAUAGAGUUCAGCUACUAUACUCUUAUAAGUACGAUCGCUUUCAUACUCAUAAGUUGUUUUUAAUGAUAGAACUUCUGAACCAACGAUCCAUACCGUUAAACAUGAUUUAGAGCAUUUGAAACUUCUAAAAGCCAAGUUUCAUAAUUUCUCGACAUAAUUUGCCUUACAAUCAAAAAUCUCAAAAUUGAUAACUUCUGAUUGCCGGUGUGGGAUACUUGCUAUCUUAGCAAUGUAAAAAUAAUCGAAAUGGGUUGAACUAUUGACAGAAAAUUCUAUUCACUAUAUAGAUAAAGAUCAAUAACUCUGAUCCUAAAUUGAAGGAUCCAUUAGAACUUUUUUGUCAAAAUAACCUUAUAAAAAUUCAUAUUUGAAUAAAUAACUCUGGAAAAAAAAAUUCGCAUAAUAACCCUCCGUUUGCCAACUAGGCCCCACAGUAGAAUUUUUUUCUUAAAGGCGGUGAAUGAUUUACCGCCGGUGAAUGAUUCACCGCCUUUAAGAAGACGGUAACUAACUCACUGUCACGCUCCGGAUUACCACGUUCCACGGGCUCGCUAAUAGACCCGCCGUAUACAUAGGGAUUUUCCGUGUAUACGAAGCAAUAGCUGUACCUGUAAACAGAUAAUAGCUACAACUGGAAGUACCGAGCUGCUAAAACAAAAACAUAUAUACAUAAAAGGCCCACUGUACAUACAAGUUCCAAAAGUACAACCACAUCUCAGAGUACAACUAAACACAACUGUAUAUACAUGGCAAUAUCCAAAACUAUCUCUGAUAGGGUACUUCGCUAGUAAAGUGACCGGGGAAGAUAGGGAUCUAGCUCGCGACUCCCUUACCUCGAUCAGAAGAAGUAGCAGCAACAGAAGGCUCUGCAAGAAAAAGUAGCAACAACGGGUGUGAGAACUACUGCAAAACAAAGUAGUCCUCAGUCGGUACCGUCGCCGACCCCAACAGCCUACCCACUAAGUCUACAGUACGAGAAGUAAACAGAUAGGUAAAAGGAAUAGUAAAAUAAGCUGGAAAAAACUCUACAGCUAAAUGCCACUAUACUAUCGCUAUCCAAACCAUGCUUUCUGUAGACAUAUAAAUGCAUCUCUAACUACAAAUCAGCCACAACUGAUCGAAUCUCAAGGGACCGCCAACUGGCCAAUCUAGCCUGCGCUCAAACUACACUGCACACCACCUACGGGCGUGGUGGCCGGUCCAAGAAAACUAUCCAAACGGGACUACUGUGACGUCAACGCAAGAAAAGCCUCACUCCGGAGCGGCAUUCGAGAGUGCGACCCAACUGAAUAUGCAAGCGUGUCUCUGUUGAGCUCAAUCAGGCUCACACAGACUACAGUCAAUACAAAUGGGUCAAACUGGUCUAACAACCAAGACUCAUGUGCCCUCGGCACAAUCUAGUACAAGAUGUAAGAAUCUGAAUCCAUCGUCCACCCCGACGGCACUCAACAGUACAAAACAGCCUAUCUCUGCUGUAAAUAUGAGCUCGGCCCCUCAGCACGAGCGUAAUCUCAACCUACACUAAUCUAAGUAUCCACGACGCACUAACAGCGAUGAUACACAGGUAGAAUCAGCUCCUAAAAUUAAAUCUGAUAACUUUUUCGAAAAGUAAAGUGCAUAGGUUUAUACAAGUUUUCUCCUAAGUCAAGUCCCAGUACGGCAUGUAAAAUUCAUCUAAAAUUAUAAGUUAAGCUCCAAAUUCAGAUGUCAUAUGAAAGCAUGCAAAUCUAUAAAUUCGAGCUAUUAAACAUGAUGAUCAAUACAAGAUGAUACAUGCUGAAAUUUCUACGACUUAGGAGGAAUUCCGAAAAUUUCGGUAAACAUUAACCCACCUAGUAUGCAAAUCCGACCACAGAUUAAAGCGAAACUCAGCAGUCACAUGCCUUCAAUCCCAAAUCACCAACAAGUAUAAGAAAAUCCAACAAAUCCCUAUUGGAUCGAGCUGAAUUAAAAAUCGAAUCACAAAUCCAUCAAAUGUCUAUUCGGUUCGGAAAAGUUGAAAUUCAGCAUUACUCACCUCAAACCAAUAGUUGCAACUUGAUUUGCAGGUUUCUCUCUACCUCAGGAACACCCUAGAAGCAUCCGAAUUGCAGCAAAAAAACUAAUUUCCAACAAUAGUUGCUGCUGUCCCUGCUCCAAGGUUGCUGCAGUUAUCUCCAAGCUGCUGCUGGCUUCUAAGCUGCCAGCACUGAGUUGCACUUCAUUCUUGCUCCAACAACCAACCAACAGCAAAAUUGGGAAUUGGGACUUGUUCACAAGUGAUCUUAGGCCUUUUCACUACAAGAAAAACCUAUAUUUCCCCAAGAAAUUUCAUUACAAUUGAAAGAUAAAGGUCAACAUUUCAGCUUCGACGAAAAACAGUUUUUUAGUCUUCGACCUCAACAAAAAAAUGAAUUUCUCAUUCAUUUUACCUCCGAAUUGAUCGAAACAAGAUUCUACACAGUGGAGGACGAAAUCAAGAUCACUUCCAACUUCUUCAAAGCUCAGCUCCUAUAGAAAAUUUGAACGAACUUUAACGAAUUCCAACAGUGGACGAAAUCUGCCUGAAAUUUCAGCAUUGAACCAAUCUUGAUCAACUUUAAAAUUAAAGCCACUAACCUUCAAUUCCAGCUCAAGUACCAAAACAUUCCUAGCCUCCCUCCACACAACUCCAAGUGUUCAAUUUUGAAUUUGGAGCAUCAAAAGACAAUAAAUUGAUCCCUAUUCCAUCAUUGAUCCUUCUGCGAGCCUGCAUCAGAGGCUGCUGGCAGCCUCGUUCUAUUUGAGAGUAUAGCUUAGUUGCAAACUUCUCCCCUUGAUACAGCAAAAGGAAUCAAAAGAGAGGGGGAAAGGAACCAGGGAAGAAGAAAAAGAAAUAACUUAUCUUCCUCAAUUGUUGCUAUAGCAGCGAAGAUCUCCUUCAAGAUGCUGCUGUAGCUGAAGCUCCAAGGCUGCUAGCAGCACCUUGGUGCCUACGCAGGGAAGUUCACAGCAGGUGAAAAAGAAGGAAAAGAAGGGAGGGAGAAGGGAGAGGAAGAGGAAACUUAAGAGGGCUUCUCUCAGCCAACAACAAGUGUCCAAACUCCCCAAUUUGGGGUAGUUGGGGCUCAAUCUAGUGUGCCUUAGGCACACUAUAGUAAAACAACACUAGCUAAGAUUCAUUGGCAUUUGGAUUAAAAUUUGGUAUCAAUUUCGCAUCCAAUACCAAUCCGACUCGCCCCAACACUUCCAAUGUGUCGAUUAAAUAACGGAUCGUAAUCAUUCCGAAAAAUUAUAAGUUAAUAUUUUUUUCCGAAACAUUACACUCACUGCCUUCUAAAUUUCCACAAAGGCGGUGAAUCAUUCACCAUCUUUUUGUUCAUAUACGUACUUUCCUCUUUUUUUCCAUAUAUAUCCUAACAACCACAUAAAAAUUUCAACAAAUUAAUUCAAUCUUAACAACCUAAUAAGUUUUAAUAGUCUAUCCAUAUAAUUCUAACAACCAAAUAAAAACUUUAAUAAUUCACAUACAACCCUAACAGCCAUAUAAAAAUUUUAAUUUUUCUAUUUCCCAUAUAUAAUCCUAACAACCAUAUAAAAUUUUCAACAAAUCACAUUUUUUUUAUUUUUCAUAUAUGAUCCUAACAAUCAUAUAAAAAUUUCAACAAAUUACAUAUAAUUUUAACAGCCUAAAAAAAAAAAUCUAAGAAGCAAUCCUUAAGAAGUUCAAGUUCAGUGCCUUAGUAGAGUAUCAUGAAAGCGGUAAAUCAUUCACCGUCUUCUUAAAGACGGUGAACGGUUCACCGCUUUUAAAAUAAAAGUUCCUUUCAUGCUGACUUGGCAAAAUGAGGGUUAUUUUACCAAAUAUAUUUUUAUAGGGUUAUUUUGCUCAUUAAAAUAUUUUAAAGGGUUAUUUAGGAAAAAAGUCCGAUCCGAUCAUCCAUUUUUAGAAUUUCAUCCAAUUUUGACCAUUUAUUUUAUGCCCUCUUAAUGGAUUUUAUUAUAAUUUCAAAAAAUUAUGAAAUUUAGUUUCUCGAAGUUCUAAAUGCUUUAGAUCAUAUUUAACGAUAUGGAUCAUAGAUUCGGAAGCUCCAUCAUUAAAAACUACUUAUGAGUACGAUGCAGCUUCCAAAUUGACGGCCCAUACAGUUAAAUAUGUGAUUUCUUAAAGUUUCAAAUUCUCUAAAUCAUAUUUAACACUAUGAAUCAUCAAUUUGGAAGCCCUAUCAUCGAAAAUGACUUAUGAGUACGAAAGCAAUCGUAGUUAUAAGAGUAUAGUUGCCGGACUCUAUACAUAUGGUCCAACUAUGCUGCUUUCGGAAGCACCACUCAUGUUAUUCUUCCAAUUCUUUAACCUUUGGAUCAAACCCUGUGAUCAUUUCAAGCCUUUAGAUUGAUACUAUUAUCCUAGGAGGACCAAUACACUCUAGGGGGACCACUAUUAUCCCAAUCAUAUAAUUCUUGAUUCAAUGGCCAAAAAGUCGAAAGCACCUUCAAAAGCAUAGUAGCUCUACACUAUAUAUAUAUAUAUAUAUAUAUAUAUAUAUAUAUAUAUAUAUAUAUAUAUAUAUAUAGAGAGAGANUAUAGAUUUGAGCUCUUAUACUUUUAAAAGUAUGGUGCCCGUAGGUUUUCAGCCAUUGGAUUAAGAAAUGUGCAGUUAGGAUGAUAAUGGUCCCCUAGAGUUGAGCGGCCGGUUGGUUGAAUAGUAUGAUCUAACAACUGAAAAUAAUCAAAGGGGUAGAUCUAACGGCGGAAAAGUUGCAAGCACCAAGUGCUUGGUGCUUUUACAAGCACCAUAGCUGGACUCAUGUAUAUAUCAGAGAGAUCCUCUCUUGGGCCGCGCCCACCACCGGCGCUGUCGGCGUCGCUACCGCCGCCUUAACCCCAUGGCGCUUCCACCCGCCGGUGCAAACCCCAGGCCGCUCGACCCCCUUGGACCCCCUGCUAAACCUAUCUUCACCUUUUACUGGCAGCAGCCACUAUGCCUCGGGCCUCUCCUUUUUUAUCAACCUUCCCUAACUACUAGACCAGCCAGCAACCUUUCACGCAAGGUUUAAAAUGCCGCCCCGUGCCGUAUGGCACAGAGCGGCACGUACUGUGCCACCAAGAAGGUGGCAUAGUACAGAGGGGGUCUCGGACCCCCCUCCAUGCCGCGGCACAGACCUGCAUAUCGCGCGAGACAUAACGAUAAGCAGGUCCGUGCCACGACAUACUUUUUUUGCUUUGUUCUUUGCUUUUUGCUUUUUUUUUUUCUUUUUGUUUUGUUCUUUAGGAUACCAUGAAGCAUCCCACACCCCCCAAGAAUAUUGCAAAUCGAAUAUCUACUUGUUAGGUAAGUCAAAACAAUUAUAAUUUUUUUUUUUUGUUUAUCAAUAUAUGGGCAAAUUUUUUAUUUACAUAUCUAAUCCAUACCACAGGGGGCGAAGCCCCCUACACCCCCCUUAUCGUCAUGAGCCCUCCGCUUCCACCAUAGACAUUCAUUUUUUUUAUAAAUUAUUUUAUCAAAAUUUGUCGCACCGCGAAAUUCUUGGCGAAUUAAGGGAACAAAAUCGAACUCAAUAAACAAAUUUUGAGGCACAUCAAACAUAAAAAUUUAUUUUUGCGUUAGAAGAUUAAAAAUACUGAUAAAAUUAAAAGCUAAAUUAAAUAAAUUGACACUUAAAUUUAUUUAAUUUAUUUGUCAUAUAAUUUAUUACUUAAUUUUUUUGAUAGAUCUAAUAAUUUUUUGAAAAAAAUAAUUAAAAAAUAUUUUUUUCAAAAUACUUUUUAAAAUAAUUUUUAACAUAAUUUUUAAAAUUAUUUUAAAAAUUAACUUUUGUAUUUAAUAAAAGAAAAACUAUAAUAUGGUCAAAAGAAAGAAAGAAAGAUGUCUUUACAUUUUUAAAAUUCCAAUUUGCAAAAAUUUUUAUUCUGCAUCAAGUGUAAUUAUACUUUACAUACAAAAAAGCUUACAAGUAUGUUAAUUGAUAAGUAUAAUAAAUUAUACAUAGUAAAUAUUCAUAAUUAUUUGAUUAAAUCUUUCAAAAUAACAUUAUAAGAGUUUAUUAGAACCAAAAAAACUAAAAUAAGUCUGUGCGAAAGCGUGUAAGUAGGAGGUCAUACGCAUCCAUCGGCACACAAGCGUACCAUAUGUCGACACGGAAGCGUGCCGGUGCGAUACCGUGCCAAGGCAGACAGCGGCAUGCCUCCGUAUCACGGCACUUUAAACCUUGCUUUCAUGGUUGCUGUUGAAGCUGCUAAUGCCCCUCAAUGCUUCACCCCCCAACUUAAUGUACACCUCACUUAGACAGAGUUAGCGACUUUCGGUACAGGCUGUUGUGUCCCUUCGAGUACUUGAUUUUCGUUUGUGACCUAGUGAGCAAGCUUAGACUAGGUCUUGAUGAGAAAUCAUGGUGAUUGGGUAUUCUUAGAAUCUAUAUGUCCAGUUAAUGCAUAAUAUCUCAAUUUGAGUUGUGCAUGGCAUUCUGGUAAGUGUUUGGUUUACAGUAACGGCAUCCUUCAUUGAGAGACUUGCUAUUUCGUUAUGUAUCAUCAUGCUACUAUAGUUGAUGAUCCUAUUGAGUUGUACAUGGCUUUCGUUUACAGUAGCGGUAUUCAUUAGUUUGUUAUUCAUGACAGUUGCUUAUCAUCUUACUAUUGUAGUUGGGUUCAGUCAUCUAUUUAGUAUCUUGCUUUAUUUUUACAGUAGCGGCAAUGCUUUGUAUUCCACUUCAUGAUACUUAUCUGUUUAUGUUUAUACUACUGUGGUUGAUUAUUCCAUAUUGAUAGUUAAUCUCUUAACCUACUCUUUUGUUGACCAGUGAGUACGCUUUGCCCUCGUCAGCCGAUUGCCCUUACUGAAAAACAUAUUUAUAUAUCUCUCACCCCACUGUUUUUACAAGUGUUGUUGACAGUGCAGAUUAGGGCGCAAGUGAGAACGUAAUAGUUAACAUCUAGAUAACUCAUACUGUGGAUCUGUGUUGCUAGUUCUUGAUUUACCUCAUUUCAUUAUCAUGUGGAAUUUAUGUGAUUCAAUAUUGUGAUUUGAGUUUAGUUAUAUUAUUAGGUUUCCAUUUGUAGUGGUCUAGGGAUUUUGGAUUAUGAUUUUAGAUUUAUUAGUAGUCAUAUGGUGAUUCCUCCUUGCUCAGGUUGCUUGUGAUUGUGUUUCUAUAUUCCUACAUCGUGCAUAUACAUGGGAGAUUUUGUCCCCGUGAAUAGAGAAAACUCUAUGCAUAUUGCGGGUCUAAGCAUGUCUCUGGCAAGGUUUUUAAAAAAUAUAUAUAUACGUUUUUCAGCAAGACUAUUUUCAAAACGAAAGGGUUUUUCAAAUAUGCUUACCACAAAGGGCCCGAGGCCUGACAGGUUGAUUCAUAGUAAUUGCGCAUCAUUGGUGGAUAAAAUCUAAGGAGACCUCUAGCAUAUGUUGUAAAUUUGGUAUCUAAGAUAAAUAUAAGCUAAAACAAAAGAACAACUAAUUGAAUGUAGCGCAACAUAUGAGAAAAUCUACUAAACUCGAAUCAUCAAUAUAGGCGUGCAAUUGCAAUAUUAAUAUACUAUAUUCAAGAUUGCAAUAUAUUCUCAAGAAUGUGCACAUCUUAAUAGCUUAUUAAAUGAAAAAAAAAAAAAAACCAUACUACUUCAAAUAAUAAAAACGUGAUCGUAGUCAAUAAAUAUAUAGAACAAAUUUUGAUACGGAAACUAGAUCGAUAAAUGAUUUCCGGCCCGUAUCGACCACAUGCAAAAUCUAAAAUUAUUAGCUAUUUUUCCAUUCACCAAGCACAUAUCCAUCAACGGAACUACAGUUUUAAUUUUUCAAAUAAAGUAUGAGCAUUAUUAGUACAUAGAGAACACUUACACAAAUUUAUUUGUGUGCACAAAUUAAAAUUUGCUUGCUUUAAUAAUUAGCAAAUAGAUAGAAAAAGAAAACUUCUAGAAAAACAAAAUAUUGCUUAUUUAUUCAUACUUUUCCUAAUUAUAUGUAUACUUUUACUUGUUACAUCCUACUGUAUCUAAAUUCUUACGCAGAAAAAUGUGCCAGGUUGAAUAAAGUGUAAGUUAAAGGUCAAUUAUGUAUAUAAAUAUGCUACAGAACAAAGGUAAAACAAAAAAAAUAACUCAUUAUUAUCUUUAUCUGCCACAGUAAAAACUCCAAUAAAAGUUUACCUUAGAUACAGUCGCACGAAGGACACCGAAAGAAGGCAUAAGAAUGAGAACUAGAACACAUAGUAAUAAAACUCCCCAGUAGGGAAGUUGAAGUUGAUUACCAAACCCUUCACAAGUCCAAAUAGUCAGGCCCGUCAUUGAAAUCAGAAGAAUAAUAAACCACCACAAAGGAAUAGUAUCAUAUUUCUUCAUCAUCUUAACAUGAACAUCAACCCCAUUACCACUUUGGAAUGCCUUUGUUAGUUGGCCCCAAAUUAAGCUAUCAAAAUAAACAAAAAAUGAAGUCAUGAAAACUAAAUAAAAAAAGGUCAGUUUUCACAUGCCAUUGUUUCUGUUUACUGUGUAUUAUCUUUCCUCGAGUUUUGUUUUAAUUCACCAUGUUUUAUCAAAUUCUUUGAGGGACAGCAAGCAACUAUAUUAACCCAAACCUUUAAAGUCUGUGAUUGUUCUCACAUUAUAUUCACCAAAAUGCAAUGACAACACUAUCAACAAUAAAUUGCGAAAUAUAAAGAAAAUGAAUGAGGGUGACAAAAUGAAUUUACAUAAAUAAAUAGAUAAAUUAAUAAAUACUCCAUCAUGACCAAGAACAACAUCACAUUUAAGAACAAAAAUCAAUUAGAAUCACCAAAUAAAAUGCAACACUUAAGCGACUUAAAAGUUCCAAUGUUUAAUAUCUUCACUUUGCCAUAAUUUAGUGUUUUGUUGGAUGGUGUUUCUUUUUUCCUGCUUUUGAAGUUUAGAACCUUAAACAAUGUGCAGUUCCAAUUGAUUUGUUGAACACUUCUUUGUACAGCAUAAGAGUGGUAUGAGAAACUUAUUGAACUUUUCAACUAAAUUCAAAAGCUUGCGUUAAAAUAAACAAGUUCCAAUCAAAAGCAACUAAUUGCUUAAAAAUCUACAAUUUCAACAUAUCUCGCAAUUUCAAGUUUAUAUUUUAACUAUUCUAAAAGUUCGAAGGACUUACAAACAACAAUCGUAGAUACAGAGGAAAUUAAUAUGAUGAGAAUCCCACUCAUCGCCAUCUCAAUUUUUCAUGUUUCUUUUACUGGUCAUAUCUUAUAUUACAUAGCACACAGUAUCAUCCACAAUAUAUUUGUUGUAUUAUUCUAUGAUUACAAUAAUAACAACAUUUUAACUUUCUGUGAUGCACGUUGAACCUUACGACAUUCUUAACAACUUCGUAGUGAUUUCCUAAUUUUUUUUUCUUUACUUUAUGUACCUGUUUUCAACCUUAACCUCACCCUUUUACACAUAAUAAAAUUGUGAAAUCUUUAAAUUGGAAAUUCAUUAAUAACUAGGAUCAGUCACCUAGAGAAGGUAAUAAAAAUAAAUGGGGAAUUCAUAGAAAAAUGUUUUCAUAAUCAAGACUAACUAUUAUACGUUCUUCAAAACAAACUUGCCAUAUUAUACAUAUGAUAUUUAUUUCAUGAAUUCUUAUUUUCUUGAUAUUUUAUGUAUUUUUGAAGAUUCCUACUGUUAGAAGUCCGAAAAGCGUAGAACAACUCGACCAUCAAAUUGAAACUCUACUAGUUUGGAAGAAAAAAGAACUAGUAUGUUGGAUCUUACUUUUGAUUCCUUAGAAAAAAGAACUAGUAUUUUGGAUCUUACUUUUGAUUCCUUCUUAUCCAUAAACACAAGAUGUGGCCAGUAAAUAUAUGACAUAAUAGAUUUUGCCGAUAACAAUAUUGUCCUAACAUGCAAAUUAGAUAAUAAUAUUUCAAGUCUUUUUUUAAUAGCCAAAUCCACUAAUCAAUAUAUAUGCUUUGAACAAAAAAGAAAAAUAAAGAGUAAGAAUAAAUGGAAAGAUAAGGGAAUAAAUAAAUCAAAUCUUACCUCCCAUGGAAAAGUGCAAUUUCCGAAAAACAUGAUGCUAUGCUUGCAAAGGUAAAUCCGUAAGAGUACACGCUCAUGACACUAAGAUACAAUUCUGAAUAAUUGUCAUAUGCUACUUGAUCAAAUUUCAAGGUUUUUUCAUCCAAAAUUCUUGAGAUAUUGUAGAGAUUACCAUGUGCAUCAUAAACAUCAGUACUGACAAGUGGAAAGUUCUUUGCCUUGUACGAGUUGCACAAAUAAGCAAUUGGAAUAACAAUAUAUAGGAAUAUAACAAAUCCAACCAAAGCAUUGGCUACAGCAGAAAAUGGGAUUACGAAAGGACUGCCAGUGAAACCGACAACUGUAUUCCAAUCAAGAGUAAAGGAUCCAAAGCCAAAACCAUUAAGACCAGAACCAAGUUGUUGAGCUGUGACUGAGUGCUUCCGUAUCCAGCAAACAAAUGAAAGUGCUGAUAUUGAAGGAAAAAAGUAGCCAGGCACGACAUAAUAGGAGAAGCUCAGAACCGAAGCCAAGAAGAAAAAUUGAAGUCUUGUUAAGUUUCUGCCAGACUUAACUUCCUUCUCAUGUAAUGCUCUAGAUCAUCAAAACAAAUUAAGGUGGGUGAGAGAGAGAGAGAGAGAGAGAGAGAGAGAGGCUACUUAACAAUUUGGUGUUAUCAUGAAUAGACCUGAAAAAAGCUACUGAAGGUAGGACUUCCGGCCACCACAUAUGAGGAGAAUCCACGAGGAGCUUCAUGAAGAAGCCAACAAAUCCAAUCCCAAAAACCUGCAAUAUGCACCAUGUAGAAAACAAUAAGGAGUUUUAAAGGUAUAUUGAAUCACAAACAUAAAAGAACUGAAGCCCCCAUUUGUUGUACAUUCAAAUAAAUUAUUAAUCUAUUUUUUCUAGAAUAGAAGCAACAAUAAUUCGACAUUGUUCAUCAGUGAACCGACUUAAAAAGAAAUCAAAUAUACUAUUAUAACUUCAACCUUGUUCUAAAAUACUCCGCCAAAAUUAUUCAAACGGAUGGCAUUUUUCACUGAUAAUCAAGUCUAUUCAAAGAAUGGAAUUUAGUGGCUCAAAAUGUUUAUGCUGUAUUGUAUGUUGAAAUUUACAAAAAUGUGACGCCCCACUUACUAGGAGGGUCACCCAUCCUAGGACUACUCUAGCCCUAGCAUGCUCAACUCUCUUAACCUCUUAGAUCUAGCCACCGCCCAAAAUGCUAUAGCCGGUUAAGAGAUUUAAUCCUAUUAUAUCUUAUAUAUAAGACUAUUUCAAAUCCUAGGAUCUCAUAAAAAACGUAGCUUAAAUGGCAAAAAUAACAACAUCUGGUUGAGGCCCACACCCACUCUGGAGAUCACCAAUCCUAAGACUACUCUAACCCUAGCAUUCUUAGCUUUCUUAAGCUCUUAAGCCUAACUAUCGCCCAAAAUCACAGUCUGGUUAAGAAGGUUUAGUCCUAUCAUACCUUAUAUAUGGACUAUUCCAAAUCCGGGGUCUCAUAUUUUUCCUCCUUUUAAGACUUGACGUCUUCGCCAGGCUUAAGCACACUCUCAAGUUCCAGGCAAUAUGAGACUUAUUUCGCUAGCCUUAGCCGAUCUUGUGGGAGUCGCGCUCUACCCACAAUAAUCAUCAACCAGAGAGCCUUGCUCUACCCGCUAUAUAAUCUUGACUCAACCGAGACUCAUCUCACACUUACGAUAGUAAUUGAUUCUGAUACUAACUGUGAUGCCCCACUUCCCAGGGAAUCACCCAUCCUUAACUAAUCUAGCCCUAACAUGUUUAACUCGCUUAAGCUCUUGCGCAUAAUCACCGCCUAAAAUGCUAUAACCGGGUUAGGAGGUUCAGUCCUAUUAUACCUUAUAUAUAGGAUUUUUCCAAAUCCUCGGGUCUCACAAAAAAUGUAGCUUAAAUAGCUAGUUUUAAGCAUACAAAAAAAAAGAAAAAAAAAAAACAACAACAACAAAAACAACAAGUUGAUGCUUACAUUUGUAGUUAGGAUUAGCAAAAAGGAUGCCAACGGAUGAAUAGUUGUUUUAAAAAAGGCCUUGACCGUUGCCAUAAUGUCGAUUGCACUAGUCGAUCCUACCCCUGAACUAGCAAAUGUAGAGAUAACAACAUGCUCCUUAAUAUUAAAGGGGCCUGGAUUCAAUGAGAACUGCCAUUUUGUGCCCGGAAUUCUUAUAUUCUUGGCUGGAAGAAUAGUUUCCAUCAACUUGCCGGCAGGAAGAAUCAAAAGUUGGAUAGUGAGCAUGGGGAACAUGAUAGGAUUUUGUCGAAAUGAAGUGAAUGUACUUAUGGUAGUAAGAAUGAUGCAUGUUGCGACCCCUAAGAACCAUGUUCGGAAGGUAAGCACGGGCAGCGUCCAAUCAUCUGUGGUAGGGACGGUUAAUUUCACUUCUUCAAUAGGCGACUCAUUCACCUCAUCUAUAAAAAAAAUAAUAAUUCACAUAUAUUAUGUCUCAAAAAAAAAUCACUAUAUUAUUCAAAAAUGAAACAUCCAUUACAAUCGAGAAAAAUCGUUAAACAUGACAACAAUAUUAAGCUAUAUUUUGUACAAAGAGGCGAUCAAUAUAUAUAUAUAUAUAUAUAUAUAUAUAGAAUUAGGCUACUAUACUAUCUAUAGUACCGGAGCUCCGGUACUAUAGUAUUGUUUUCGAUCUUAGAGUGUUCAAAUUAACGAUCUACACUGUUAAAUAUGAUCUAGGGUAUAUGAAGUUCUUAGGAAUAAAAUUUUAGUUUUUUUCGAUAUCGUUUACUUAGUAAAUAAAUUAUGUCAAAAUAGACGGUAGAAAUUGAAUAAUCUUUAAAAUUUGAGCAUAGGACUUUUAAAUUCAAGAUCAAGAAUGUUAACCUUAAUCUAGAUAGUUUAAAGUAUUUUCUAUCAAAAUUUGAAGAAAUUUAGAUUCCUCUACACCGUUAAACUCCAAACUCGCCAUAGUAUCCAUUGAAAAUUAACAAUUUUGAAAUAGUUUGAUCAUAAAGUAAACUAUGUCGAAAAAAACUAAAAUUUUAUUUCUAAAAACUUUAAAUACCCUAAAUCAAUUUUAAUGAUGUGGAUCGUUGAUUUGAAUACCCUAAGAUCGAAAACGAGACUAUAGUACCGGAGCCCCAAUACUAUAGAUAGUAUAGGAGACUAGCGCUCUCUCUCUCUCUCUCUCUCUCUCUCUCUCUCUAUAUAUAUAUAUAUAUAUAUAUAGUUAUGAAACUUUUUUUUUCCCUUAAAGAUGAAGGUGCUAGAGAACUCAGGGCACUCACUAAUCUCUUUAUUCAUACAUUUAACAGCAAUUAACUUUCUUUUGUUCCUUUCUUGAGCGAGAAGGGUUUAAAGCUAAACAUCCAAAAGACACAGGAAAUAGCCGAAAGCACCUUCCUCAUUGAAUAAUGAAUAUGCAUUCAAACUAGAUGGAAAAAAAAAAAAAAAANGCCCUACCAAAACCAAAACAAACGGAAAACUAGAAUGUAUCACGCUACUACCACCUCUUGCUCUUCGUACCAUUAUAUAGAAAUUAGACUAACGUUUCUCCCAAAUAAUAACAAGAACCUAACCGAAUCAAAAAAAAAAAAAAAAAAAAAAAAAAAAAAAAAAAAAAAAUUGAUUAAUGUUAACUACUACUACUACUACUACUAAUAAUAAUAAUAAUAAUAAUUCUUAAUUAAAUCCUUACAAUACCUUUAAGAAAUUAAUAGAAAGAAAUUAAACAAAGUACAGCAAGGAAUUAAAGGAGGGAGAGAGAUUAGGCAAUUCACUUACCACUCCAAGAGAAAUUGGCUGUAAACUUUCCCUUUUUGGAACCAUUGCAACGAAAAAAAUUGCCCUUCGUUUACGUAAGAUGUUAACAAAUAUCAACAACAAAAAAACCCAAGAGGGAAACAUCAAGAUCAUGCCAAAAUUAUCUGCGGAUCUCCUAAAUUAAGCACAGUGAUUCUUGAACAGGUACAGUGAAUUUGGCCAUGGUCUAAAUUCAAUGUACCCCUCUUGAAUUGUUUGAAGAAUUUUACAUAAAAUAAAUUUUUAUUUCUAAUUAGUGGGGAGAGAAGAAACUUUUUUUUUUUUUCCCUCUCCUCUCUCCCUCUUCUCCCUUCAUCGUUGCUGGGCCCGACGGCUGGCGGAGAUACUCACCUCCUCCUCGCUCUCCUCCGCCGGCAACAGUGAGGAGGGGGAGAGGAGAAAAAGGAGGCGGCUGGCAGCUGCGAAGGCGGCGGCGGCGGUGGACGGCAGUGGCGAGGAGGGAGGGAGGAGAGGAGGAGGCAGUGUGUGGCGGCUACCUGCAAGGGCCGCGGCGGCGUGCGGUGGAGGGAAACGGCGAAGACGGCGCAGAGGGGGAGAAACCCCUCAUUAACAAUAAGAAAAUAUAAAUUGAGUUGAGCUGGAAUGCUACGUCAAACGGGGACAAAAAUUUUACCGGCAUAGUCCUCAAACUAAUUUAGUUUGGGAAUUAUGCAGAUCAAUGCAACGUGAUCGAUCCGGCGGUCAUGGAUGAGAAAACAAAAAAAAAUUCUGUAAUUUGAGAGAGAGAGAAAAAACAACUGAGAUUUGUGGCCAUCGGAUCAGCCACGUGGCGCCAAUUCACAUAGUCUCUAAAUUUGCCCAUAAAAUUUAUCCCGUCAAACAGACACUUGCCAUCAAUUUAAUUUUUAUGACGAGCCUUCAAAUCGAUCGACUAUUGAUAUCGUUGAAUAUGAUAUAUACCACUUGAAGCAUCUAAAUAUCAAAUUCUAUAUUUUUUUAAUAUUAUUCUCUUAUCCAUCAAAAUGACAUAAAAAUGGACGGUUGAAAAUGAAUAUUCUUUAAAAAGUGAUGAUAUAAACAUUAUAAUCAAGAUUAAGAGUAUAGAUCUUUUUCUGAAUAGUUUAAAGAAUUUUCUAACCAAAAUUUAAUUAAUUUGGAUAUGUUUAUGUCCUUAAACGAGAAAAUGUCACAUAUCGGUCAUUAAAAUAAAAAUUUUAAAACCCUUUGAUUAUUAAGACAAUAAUAUUGAAAAGAUUUGAAAUUUGAUUUCUAUGUACUUCAUGUGGUAUAAAUCAUGUUCAAUAAUGUCGAUCGUCGAUUUAGAGGCUUUAUCAUUGAAAAUAAAUGAGUAGCAACGGAGUCCGUUUGCUAUCGAUAGCAUUCUAGCCCAACUCUAUAUAUAUUUUAUAUUUUAUAUUACAGUCAAGUUACUAUACUAUCGGUAGCUCAAAAACUUUCGUACAACCAAGUUGUUUUUAAUAAGUGGCUUUCAAAUCAAUGAUCGAUUUUGUUAAAUUUGAUUUAUACUAUUGAAAGUAUUUGAAAACUAAAUUUCAUAAGUUUUCAACAUCAUUUACUUAUCAAACGAGUAAUCUAAAAAUGAAUAGUUGAAAAAAAAAAAAAUCUAGACCUCAAAUAAAAUAAGAGAUAUUGAUCUUACUCUAAAUACUAUAAAUAAAAUUCUAUAAAAAAUUAAUUGAUUUGAAUUAUUUUAGGCUAAAUUACAUAAAACCUUUUUGUCAAAAUCUGAUUUUUCACUUUUUUUCUCCUGUCAUUUGAAAACCUACACUUUUUCCCCUUAUAAAAUAAAAAAUAGUCACAAGGGGUACGGUGUAAACUGUGAUGGCAAAAUGACCAUUUUACCCCUCACCACUUUUGGCAAGAAGAGAGAAGGCUGAGGGCAUUUUUGGCAUAAAAAAUAUAUAAUAAUAUUUUAUAAACGGAACCCUAAUAUAUCACUAACGGCAAGGAAUGAAGUGAACAUUUUUCAUUUCACAAUAGGGCAAAGUAUAGGUUUUUAAAUGACAUGAGGGGAAAGUGAAAAUUUGAUUUUUGACAGGAGGGUUUUCUAUAAUUUAGCUAUUAUUUUAUAUCGUUAAAUUCACAAACGCAUCACAUCGACAUUAAAAUUAUCAAUUUUGAAACUUUUUAAUCACUAGUCAAAUAAUAUUGAAAAUUUUUGCAAUCAAGUGAAUCUUAAAAAAUUAAAAUAAAGUUUAAAAGCCAAAUUCAUAUUUAUAAUUUAAAUUUGUAGUUGGAAUAUGAAACCACACCUUGAAUAAGAAAUUUGAUUAAAAUGUAACUCUAAAUUUAAAUUAAACUUUAAAUUUAAGUCCAAAACUUGAAUUUAAAUUUUAAACUAAAACAUGAACUUAUAAUUCAAAACUAAAUUUUAAAUUUAAAUUUGAAUGUGCAAUCUAAAUUUAAAUGUCAGUGGCAAUAAUCAUGGAAGAACCUUUUCUUUUUUUAAACCAAGGUUGAUUCCAAUCUCUUUCAUGGAAAUCAUUUUAGGGAGAAAAGCAUUCAUUCGGUUUGAAUCCUAAACUUUAAUUCAGGUUUUUUUUUUUUUGCAUUUGGCCCCUCAAAAACAAAUCAUAAAUAGCCCUCUUAAAUUUAUAAUUAUAAUUUUAGUUCUAUCCUUGUCACCCAUGCAUCACAUCAGCGCCACGCAAGUAGGCUAGGACGUUAGUUGAACACGGUGAAUCAUAUUCAAACACGGUGACUGUUUCACUGUGUUCCAUAUUUACAUUUUCCUUUACUGUGUUUAGACACGAUGAAUGAAUUAUCGUGUUCAACUCAUUCCCUUACUAAUGUGGCGCUUACGUGGCACCUGUGUGGCGGGAUAGGGCUAAAAUUGUAAUUAUAAAUUUGGUAGGAUUAUUUGUGAAAAUAAUAUUUUUGAAGGGGGAAAAUGCAAAAAAGGUCUCGAUUCUAUUAAAUCAAACGGCCCUGAGGCAGAUUUUUAUUCUUUAUAACUAGAGAUUCAAGAAUUUUUUACAUAAGAUCAAUAGGUGGGUCUAAUUUUGGCAACCAGCUAUUCGAAUUGGCAAAAAAUCGAACGCACGUUUUCAAAACAAAAGUUCGGAAAAUAAACCAAAAUUUGACCGCUUACAAAUUUUAAUUUGAAGGAUUAAUAAUAUUAUGAGUAGGGGUGGAAACGAGCCGAGCUCGAGCGAGCUUAUGUCAUCUCAAAUUCGGCUUGAAAUUAAUUUCGAGCCUUAUCUAGGCUCAAGCUUCGCUUUGAAAUUAUUCGAGCGCAGCGUGAGACUAUUCGAGCUGAGCUCGAUGUUCGAGCUCACUGAGCUCGCUACAUUGAAUUCUCGCAUUAUAAAUCAAUAGUUAAUUUUUAUGAACUUUAUCUACAAUUUGAUGCAACAUGCCAAUAAUUCAAACAAUUACAAUAAUACUUUAAAAAUGUGAGGCUCGAGGUGACUUCCUGACUGAUGAGGGUCUUAAGAAGAGAGAGAGAGAAGAGAGAGAUGAGAGAGAGGAAAAAAGUAGGGAUUUGAAAAUUUGAAUGUUAUCAUGUUUUGGAGUUAUGUGACAACAGUUGAGAAAGUGUUAUGUAAACUUUAGAGUUGGGCUCAAUUGUACGUUGUACUUGUUGGCGUUUAUUUUAUGGGCCACAAUAAUGGACCCAAUUAAAUUUAAGGCUAUAUAUAUAAUUAAAUACAUUUAUUUAUAGAAAUUUAUAUAUAUUUAUUAUAGGUUCGAGCUACUAUACUUCUUAUGAAGUAUUGGUUUCUUAUACUCAUAAGUUUCACCUUAAAUUUAUUCCAUUAAUCAUUUAAUCGUUAGAUCAUACUAUUUACCACACUACCCACUAACCCUAUGGCGGACCACGUAUCUUCGUAAGUGGGGACACCAUCAUCCUAAAACAAUCCCAUCGAAUCACGUUUAAAAAAUUUAUGAGUUAAGGGGUCUAUUAUAUAGAUAUGUAGCCGGCCUAUAUAUUAGUAUAUGUAUAUGUAUAUGUAUGUAUAGUAUGUAUAUUAUAAUAUAUAUAUAUAUGUAUAUUGUAUAUGUAUAUUAUGUUAUGACUUAUAUAUGUAAUAUGUUUAUAUGUAUGUCUAUAUUAUAUGUUAGUAUAUUAUAUAUGUAUGUAUUAUAUAUAUGAUAGUAUGUAUAUAUAUAUGAUAUAUAUAUGUAUAUAUAUAUAUUAUAUAUGUAUAUAUAUAUAUAUAUAUAUAUGAUUUAUAUCUAUAUAUAUGUAUAAUUAUAUUAUAUAUAUGUAUUAUAAUAUAUAUAUAUAUGUAUAUAUAUUUAUAUAUAAUUCCGAGCUUUUCGAGCUUUUCGCAGCUAUUCGACGAGCCGAGAUAAUAGCGUCAGCUCGGCUUGAAAUGAAUUUCGAGCCUUUUAUUUUGUUCAAGCUCGGCUCAUUUAAUUUCGAGUCGAGCUCGAGCGAGCCGAAUAUCGAGCCGAACACGAGUCGAACGCGAGCCGGCUCGCUCAUUUGCCAGCCCUAAUUAUGAGGCGUAUGUACACUCCUGCAUGGAUGAAUUGCAACAUCUCUAAAAAAAUUUAAAAUUUGAGCGGUAAAUAUAAAAUUGUAAAAGUUUGGAUGGUGUGUAAAAAUUUUAAAACCUUAAGGGGUUAUCUGCAAAUUGCUUAAAAUUCACUUAAAACUUGAGUUAUCUUCGCAAACUAUUGUUAAAGAACUAAAGAACUAGGCCAAAUCUAGAAACUUAUUCAUUUUUAAACACAUUAGUCAUGUAGCACAGUUACAGUUCGGCAAUGUAGGAAUCGGGUGUAGCCGAAUACUACCUUCACCUACAGGGACAGUUUUUAUAAGAGCUCUUUUUCCAUUUGAUCCUCGAAAAAAAAAAAAAAAUUAAAAAUAGUCCUACGAAAUUUAUAAUUAUAAUUUUGGUCCUAUUCCUAUCACACAAGCGCCACGUCAGCUCCACGCGAGUGGGACUGGGAUCAAGGUGUUAAGUUGAACACGAUGAAUCAUUCACUAUGUUUGGACACGAUGAAUGGUUCACCGUAUUCAGUGACUUAUAUUACUCGGAAGAAUAAUAUAUUAAAUACAGUGAACUAUUCACUAUGUCCAAACACGGUCAAUCGUUCAACGUGUUUAGACACGAUGAAUAGUUCACCGUGUUUAAACACGGUGAACCAUUCACUAUAUUCAGUAGAACUCUACCCAGGUCAUUGCAGAUUUCAGCACAAUAACACAACAAAUCAUGAUACAUCGAUAACUUAACAAAUUCAACUUUAACAACACAACAACAAAUCCACCACAACAACACAAUAAUAAAUCCAACAGAAUAUCAAUAGAGCAUCAAUACCAUAUUAUCACAACAAAAUAUCAAAAAAUAGAGCAAGUUUAUCAAUAAUUUAAAAAGUUCUAUACAAUUUAAAAUUUACAAAAAUGUAAAGUCAUAUUCUCCUCCUAAUCUCUUGACCACAUCUACCUACACGUCCCCUACCACGACCGCGACCACGAUCAACACUAUACUUGUCGAAGAGCAAUGUGACUUCCAACUGGUCGAAAUGUUCGAUAGCAGCACCCUCCACAACUGGCUGAGUAUCCUGCGUCUCUAUCACCUGUUUCAUCUCGUGCUCAACCAUAGCAGGUGUCGGUAGUAUGUCUGGUCGUGGAGGAGCUGAAGAUGAGAGCUAAUUUGUGUGGAGAGACUGCAACUGUCAUUGGCGCCUAUGAUAAACAAUAUCAGCUAGUCGAGGUGGAUCCUCUUGUAUUGGAGAUCCUCUGGUGUUGGCAUUGUGUCUGGAUAAUAAAAUGACUCCUCUAUCGGUGAAGAUGGCCUCGGUGGACUAUACAGUGGGACAUGAACCAACGUCGAUAGUCCACCAUAUUUUGUUGGCCGUGGAGGUACAGUGUCUGGAAGCGUAGGUAGAGUCUCCAAAACCGCUUCCAUUUGAUCGGCACCUUGUGAUAAAGCUUCUAAUACUCCGCCAUAUGAAAUAUCUGACAGGACACGUGUCACGCCCCAAAUUACCAUGUUUCCCCGGGCACGCUAACAGACCCGCCGUAUACAUUAACAUUUUUCACGAAGUGAUAGCUAUACCUGUAAACAAGUUAUAACUAUAGCCAAGAGUAUAGAGCUGCUAGAACUGAAAUAUAUACAAAAUAUAAAUCAUCCACUGUACAUACAAAAACCAACAGCACAACCUCGCUCCAGCGAGUACAACUAACCAUAAUAGUAUGUACAAGGCAAAAUCUAUCUAACUCUGCAAGGGUACUUCUCUAGCAAUGUAAUACAUUGAACUUACGCAAAUUGCGAAGUUCGAGUGUGUGGAAGGAUAUUUGGAGCUAUCCUACAUCUUCUAAAGGGUUUAGAGAAGAUAUUGGACAAGUUUGAGAGUGAUUGGAAGGCCAGAAGCAUGAAAGUGCAUUGUUCUGGCGAAAUUCAGCAUUUUUUUGCAUUGUGUACCGGUACAGCCAUCAUUGUGUACCGGUACACAAUGACAGAUACGUGGCAGCAAGGCUAAUUUAGUAAUUUCACUUCUUUAACCCAUCCUUAUCUACCCAGCACGACCUCUGGAGCUCCUUAGAUGAUCCUAGAGCUCAGAGAAGUGUUCUUGCACCUCUCUCACUUUCUCUUUCUAGGGUUUCUCUCUCUUCGAGUAGAAGUCGCCGAUUCAAGCCGAUUCCGCGUUCCGCUCGAUGUUCGCUGGUUUGGAGACUCAAGGAAAGUCUUUGGCAUGUGGGGAGAAGGAUUCUUACUGAAUUUCUGAGGUCCUAUCACCAGGGGAAGCUAAGUUGCAGCUUUUGAUAAGUAUUUUGCUUAAGACUUCUCUAAUUUGAAGUUUAGUAUCGGAAUUUGAGUUGUUUUAGUUUCUUUGCUCCCAGCUGAAUUAGGAGUUUCCAGCAGCUAGAGAGGAGUUAGUUAGCUGUGAUUUAUCCACUUUAGACCAGGGAUAAGCUGCUUUGAAGCUUGAUAACGGUAAUUAGUUAUCUAUGACUCUAGUUCGGCUAUACGAGGUUUAAGCGAGUAAAUUGAUGCAGUUUGGAAUUGUUUCUUCGCAGCAGGUUUCCGAACCACCUUGAGCUAAAUUGGUGACCUUGGGGGACUGGUUUGAAAGGUGUUUCAACCAAGGGUAAGUAGAAAUUUCAAUUAGAAAACUGAUUACGUAAGAUUCCGACUAUAUUAACUAGUAUACAAGUGUUUUGAUGCCGUUUGGUGAUUACUCGCAGCAAGGUUGCAAUCGACCGUUGGAUUAUCUUUGACUAACUUGUGAGAGCUUUUGGAGGUUAAACUUGAGGUACUAAAGUGAACCAAAGUAGGGAUUUAAGUUACUACUAUGUACUAAGUGAGAAUUUUGCCGAUUUCGGACAUUUUGGCCAUCGCUUCAAUGCGAUUUUGAUACUCAGUUUUCAGCAGGUUUGAGACCUAGCGAGCUGAAUUUUGGGACUCAGUUGGGGCUGGAUCGAGCUUAGUGCUAGGUGGGUUUGACCUAACCAGAGCAAGUGAAGCUCCCCUAUGUUCUAUAUGUUACUAUAGAUUUGGUACAUAGGUGCAUUUUAUGAUUAUGUGAUUGAUAAGGAUUUGAAACAUCAUCGCCGCAUCGGUUGAGAUAUUGUAAUGAAACCUCUAUGAAGGAGAGAGAACUCAUGCAUAAAAGUAUUCAUGCAUAAAGUAUUCAUGCACUAAAGUAUUCUUGUUUAGUUCAAUUGAAUAACCAAGAGAUAAGUUUAUUAUGCUUCUAUAAAGUAGAGAACAAUUACAUUCUCUUGACCCUAUUGAUAGUAUAUGAAUAGUGAGAAGUUUCUAAUGCAAUAUGUAAAAUUGGCAUUACUUUUAUGUGUUACUAAUCUAGUGGAUACUAGCAAGUUUCAUUGUUUAUCAUAUUGAGAAUUCCGAUCAAUAGAUCGAGAGUGAGAACAGAGUGUACUAUGACAUGAUGGUUGAGACAUAUUGGGCUAUGGACUUUGCUUGCUUGCCAUCGUGCUCAUUCGCACACGCUUGUGAGGGUAGCUCCCUACAAGCCGGCACUCCGGAGUUGGCCUACGCGACAGUUGCUCGCCCGUGCGGGAUUGGGUGCCGAAGUGGAUUGCCGUGGGGAGUAUAUACUACCACGAGGCAAUCCACUUCGGCACCCAAUCCGUGGGGAGUAUAUACUACCACGAGGCAAUCCGUGGGGAGUAUAUCCAAUACUUUUAUUAUUCAGUCGAUUCAUUACUGCAGAAAGUAUGAUUACAUGUUGAUUAUAUGUUCAUUACCUAUUACCUGUUAACAGUAUAGAUAUAUCAUGCAAUUACUGCUUUUACUUUCAUUCAGUAUAUCAUGAGCCUAGUGGUGUAAUUCGCCGAGGCUGGCGGCUUACCCACUGGGAACUAUUGGAUAAUAGUUCUCACGCCCUUUUUAUUGUUGUUUUUACAGAGUCACCUACAGGAGAGGCUAGGGAUCGCGGCAAGGGAGUCGCGUCUAGCUAGACAUAGCUUGAUGUUUGCUAGUUGAUCACCUUCCUACUCGUGCCACGGCCGAGGGUGAUGUAUCCAUGUAUAGAGAGACUACCAUUGUACAUGUAUUUUUAGUAACCCUGUGAUGUAUAUGAGUAGUUUGAAUCGGGGAUUUUAGUUUUGAUUUUGCUCUUUGAUGUUGAGAUUUUUGGUUGUAUACUCCUUAUUCCUCUGAUGAUGGUAUUAUAGACUUAUACUUGCUCUGAUAUCAGGAUAGGAUACUUCUAUGUUUUCCUUCUAUCGACAUGUUUUCUUUGUAGACGCCUUAUAUACUGCAGGUGUAUGGCGGGUCUGUGCACAUGCCGGAUAUGCUUCCGCUGAUACCCGGGCGUGAUAAGCAAAAGACCCGGGAAGGGAAGACUCUAGCUCGCGACUCCCUUGCCUCUGUCAGAAUCCACAGUAGCAGCAGCAACGGACGGCUCUGCAAAAAGGUAACAACAAUGGGGUGUGAAAACUACUGCAAAACAGAGUAGUCCUCAGUGGGUACAGUCACCGACCUCAACGGCCCACCAACUAAGUUACAGUAAGGUAUGCAAAGGAUAGAAAAUCUGGAAGAAACUCUAUAGCUAUAUGCUACUAUAUUAUCGCUAUCCCAAACCAAGCUCACUGUAGAUAAAGGAAUGCAUCGCUAGCUACACACUGACCCAAUCUCAAGGGACUACCGAUUAGCUCGUCCAGCCUGUAUCCAAACUACACCGCACACCACCCACGGGAUGGCCGGUCCAAGAAACUGUUCAAACAGGAAUACUGCAACAUCAACGCAAGAAAAGCCUCACUCUAGAGCGGUACUCGUGGGCGCGACCCAAUCGAGUAUGCAAGCGUGUCUUUUCCGAGCUCAAUCAGGCUCACACAGGCUAUAGUCAAUGCAAAUGGGUUCAACUAGUCUAACAACCAAGAUUCACGUGCCCUCGGCACAAUCUAAUACAAGAUGGGAAAAUUUGGGUCCACCGUCAGUCUCGACGGCACCCAACAAUACAAGACAGUCUAACCCUGCUGAAAAAAAUGAUCUCGGCCUCUCAGUACGAGCGUAAUCUCAACCUACACUAAUCUAAGUAUCCACGACGCACUAACAGCAGUGAUACAAAAGAAAAGUCAGUUCCUGAAGCUAAAUUUGAUAACUUUUCAAAAAAUGCAAUAUGUAUGUUCUAUAGGUUUUCUCCUACGUCAAGUUCCAUUUCAACAUGUAAAAUUUAUCUAAACUCAUGACUUUAAGCUCCAAAUUCAGAUAUCAUAUAUAAACAUGCAAAUCAAAAUUUGAGCUACUAAAUAGGAUAAUUCAUACAAAUUAAUGCAUGCUGAAAUCUCAUACAAUUUAGGAGAAAAUCCGAUGAUUUCGGUGUACAUUAACCCACCUAAUACGCUAAUCCAAUCCCAGAAUGAACUAAAAUUUCACGAACACUUUCCUCUAGUUCUGAUUCAAAAGGGAGGCGAAGACAAUCCAGAAAUCCUGCUGCAUUUCAAAGCAUCAAUAGGUUCAGUUCGAAAAAGUAAAAGUGAUAACCAAUUCAAAUCUGCUGAUAAUACUUAAACCCUAGAUUCAUUACCUCUCUAAGAAUACAGCAAUCCACUUGAUUUGGGAACUUAACUCUCCGACUACCCUAAAUUACCAGACUAGAUUAUUGUUGCUGCUAGAAUCCUGUUAAAGCAUAAUUUUACUUGCGGAAAAUGCCAGCCGUUAGACUACAAUCUAACCAUCAAAUAUGCUAGAAGGAGGAGGAAGAGAUACAUUAUGAAAUCCUCAGCUCCUACACAUUGCUAACAUACGUUUACAUCAACUAUUCUGAAUCAAAAGAGGUUAGGAAUUGGGUCUAAUCAUCAAUGUGUAGUAUAUGCUAAUUUUAGAUAAUUUCGAAUCAAAAUCGAAAUUCUCCUUAUACUAACCUCCAAAUUAGCUCAAAGAACUCUUCCACUAGUUCAAGAUGAGGAUAAUUUCAUCUACGUCACCACCAAAGGACAGCUAAUAAAAUAGAUAAAGAGAAUUCCAUCAAAAUUCGGCUUCAACCACAAGUGGACUGCAUGAAGUUCUAACACAGCAUCAUAACAUUAAAUCAGCAAUUUAACUAUCAUGCUAUCUAAAUUUGAGAUGAAGGUUGCAGUCCACUAGAUCCUCUUACCUAUUAAAACACCUUCAUGAAUUAGAUUUUACUGCCAAUAAUUAAGAACGAGGUCAAAAGAACUCAAAAAAAAAAAGAAUCACCAAUGCUGAAAUUUUACUCACCCUACAAGAUUUUAGCAUUUAACUUCCACUAACAUGAUGUGAAGUGAAGUGAAUUAAUCACUUUUCUCACGUCUAAUAGCCAAUCUAAAACUUGUCACGCACGAGCCCGCUACCAAUUUGGUCCGGUUCGGGCGCGUUAAACAGACGCCGAACGGACAGUACCUCCCCUGUCUGCCUAAGGCUAAACAGCGAGAUCAUGUACAACAAGUUCCCAGGAAAUCACUUGAAUACAUACACAAUGAUACAACAAUAGCGAGAGCACAACCAGUACGAAACAACCAAGAGUAAGCAUCACAAGUAAAGUAUAUACGAGUGAAUAAAAGAGAGAUACUUAUCUAUUACAACCAUUCGACCUUUAUACAUCUGAUUAUAUUUAAACUUCCAAAACAUAACAUAAGGUUCACAAUCUUCCAAAAUAUCUUACACCUAUACAUUAUCUACUCUCAAGCAUAUAGGGUGACUACUAAUGCAAUAGGAAGCAUCUGCAACCUCUAGGGCGCUAAGCCCUUGCCACGAUCCUCGCCGGGGGUACUCAAGCUCGGCCCUACAACAAAGUGGAGUGAGAACUAUUGUCCAUAGUUUCCAGUGGGUUCGGCCGCCAACUCUGCCGAUCUCCCCACUAGGUCUAAGCAGGCAUAGGCAGAUAGAUAGAUAGAUAACUUGAAAGCAACGACAAUGAUAAGGAAAAAUGCAAGUACUCUACCAUGCCUUAAUCCAAUAUAAUAAAUGCAUGCAACUCAUAGUAAGGGCUAGCUACUAUACUACUAUGUUCAACCAUAAAACUAUUCAUUAGAUCACCCAAUCUCUCGGCUAACCCGGAGGCUUGCUCUCAAUCUCACGUUUUUGAGUCUCAUAGGGGAGGAGUCUCGCUGCUCAACUACCCCCGAGACCGCCUGCGGACAGCUAGCGGCUGUCUAGGUAGCACACGACGACUGCCUCUCGUGUGUCUAAACUCCGGAGUGCACAGCUUGUGUAGAGCAACCACUACAAGCGCAGACAGGCUAUGUGAGCACGAUCCAAUCCUUGUGAACCAAGGAUACCCUACCGAUUAGGGUUGUCAUCAUCAUGGAAUCAAUGUAUUCUUAUACUCAGCAUCCUAGUGCUUCGACUACACUAAGGUUCUCAUAUUCCACUCGUUCUUGUGUUUACAUUUAACUAGAUGCCACUCGUUAUCAAUUAAGUGUUUCCAAAACACUAGUUGUACACAAUCACUAGGUUUUCAUUCACCUAGGAUCCAAUCCACAUGUAUCAUCUCAUUAUAGGGUUAUUAAUCAACAUGUCUCAACCUCAUGCAUACUAGGCCCAAGUGUUAAACAAGCAACAUCACACUACCCCUAGCAUACAAGAAUAUACAACAACUAAUAAUGCACCCUAUAAUGUAUCAUGCUCAAUAUGCAACUUGAUCAAUAACGAGACUUAGACAUAGGGGCAGUUCAACUGCUUCGGGAUGGUCACCACUCACUUGUUGGCGAUGCUACGAAGUAGGAAAGGAACUCGAAACCUCCUAGGAUGCUACUUUGGCCCUCCGAAUAGAGACGAAGCCCAACGCCCUCCGCUUGGCAAUAUCUACGCACCAACUCGACGAAUAAUCGAACCGUCGCCGCCAACGCGUUUAGAUACCUAGCAAUUAGGUUUACAACCAACCAACUUAGAUCAAAACCCUAGAUUUCCCAAAACCCCAUUUUGGAGCCCUAGGUUGCAAUUAAUGCAUUAACUCACCAACAAAACCCUAGAUUCAUGCAAUUAGCACAUCACUAGCAUCAUAGGGUUUACCUAAAACCAAUCCUAGAGUAUGAAAUUCCUACCCUAGAAACCCACCAUUAAAGAGGUUGGAGCUUACCUCACUAGCUUGCUCCUCCUAAGCCUCCAAGCCCAAGAAGAAGAAGAAGAGGAAGAAGAUCCUUCUCUUGGUCUUAAGCUCCACCUAACCUCCCACCUUCUUCACUUCUAGAGAGAGAGCAAGAGAGUAAGCUCUAGAAAGAGAGAGGGAAGUGUUUAGAGUUGUAAAAGAGUGAAGAGAGAGAGAGAAGAGAUGCCCUAGCACUCUUAUGCACUCCCACUUACACACACUUGCAAGAAACCCCCUCAACUUUCAAUAUAUCACACAGCCCAUUUUUGGGCAUUUCAGGCUACGGGGACCGGUCCCUUUAAGGGAGGACCGGUCCGCGAGAGCAAUUUUCUCAGCUUGAGCUCCAGCUCAACCCUUACACGCGUAUGGGGACCGGUCCCUCUUAGGAAGGACCGGUCCCAAAGAGCAAUUCUGGCAGGUUGAGCAUCAGCUCAACCCCCACAUGCUUACGGGAACCAGUCCCCUCCCAGAGGGACCGGUCCCCGAGAGCAUAAAAUCUGCGAUUUGUGCAGAUUUUGCACUACUUGCUCUCGCGGGUCGUCCUCAAUGCACUUUAUGCAUUUCUAUCGCAUUCGGACUUCCCGAAGCAUACCAACUCGACAAUUAGCCGACUCUAAGCGAAGUCUAACUCUCGGAUUUCGAGAAUUCACUUCCUUGCAAAAACCAAUCCUAAGUUGCCGAAAAAUAAGAUUCAAAUCCCUCUCUAAUUCCUGCAAUUGGAGUUAGGUCGCUGCUGCUACCAACCUUCCUGAGCCUGCGCAGGGAAAGGAAACAGCAAAGAGGAAGGGAAUGAGAGGGGAAGAAAAAGAGAAGAAGUAGGAGAUGAAAAAGAGAAUAGAUGAUUCUAUUCUCUGCUGGGUACUUAAAGGAUAAGACUCUCAUUUAAGGGUGGUUGGGAGUAGUUAAGUUGCACACAAGGUGUUACUUAAGCACAUUAACAUGAUCCAAUUGAGAAUGCAUUCAGUUCAGAGUAAUUUGCAACAUCAAUUGUUGCGUCCAAACCAAAUCUGACUUCUCUCGGCACUCUCCCGAAGUGCCGACUAAAUCACAUAUCGCAAAAUUUUGAAAAAAUACUAUUUUGAUAUUUUUCCUGCACACUACAUCAGAUACAGUAGUCUUUCGACAGUUAAGCACCAGGGACACUACAACACGUCUAAUCGUAUAAUGUGAUCUUUGCAUAAUAUCGACCUGAAAUAAAAACACUCAUAAAAACUACACUUAACUUUCUUUAUAUAUAAAAAUAAAUAUAAAGAGAUAUUAUAUAUUAAAAUCAUACCAAUACUCUCUCGACAUGUCCACGUGGCUGAUUCGCAAGGGGUGGGCGCUGUACUAGUCUAGAUAUCCACCUCCUGGUGCUCCUCCAAUACUACUGCAUGUAAACAAUGGUAGCUCGUAUAGGAUCUGAAUCUAUUUCAACGUCCACCUCUACUAUAUUCAUCAAUUUAUCAUCCCAAUACUAAAUAUAUGAAGCAUGAUAUGUCAUCCAAUUCUCAUCUGCUCUAUCUCGUGAAGUGAUACGAGAUAUAACAACCACUGCUUCAGGUAUACUGUAGAAGAUCAAACUGUCGAAGCAAACGAUCUAAAAGAUGCAGCUCAAUAAUAUGGAAGCAGACUAAUGUGGUCCUAGAUCGCCAAACCUGGGACCCCGCUACACAAAAAGGUGGGAAUGUCUCUAAUACUACAUCUGUAUAAGGUCUCAAUGUAAUCUAUUGUGAAAAUAAAUAUGGUUACUUACUCUCUCGUUUUUAAAUAUAAUUUACAAUUAUAAUAAAAUUGAGUUACUUUCAUUUAUCUAAGACUCAUAGCUACUAAUCAAGAUGAUCACGAUAAAACUCAAUGUUAGUAGUAUUAACAUUAUCCCGAAAGGAUUCCUCAUCAUCACUAGAAUCAACAUCAAUUCGCCCUUGAUCCUCUUCAUCACUUUUAAUAAUAUACCCCUCAUCACUUUUAAUUAUGUCCUCAUUAUCAAUUGUAGUUCUCAUUUCCCAAUCGGUCCAUUUACGACCACUAAAUAAUGGACCUCAACUUUGAUUAUGAGGAAUACUCAACCUGCAAAGAUAUUUAAGAUUAACUAUUCGCAUUGGUCCAAUUUUUAUGUAACUAAAUUAUACAAUCACCUACCUCUUAUUUUGACCAAUCAAUGGAGACGGAUCCAUCGUAGUAGAUGGCAAUGAUGCACUAACUAGCAUACAUGGGACUCCAAACUCUCUAUAACACUUACAAAACAAAGUUAUUAAUUUUGCAUACAUAAACUAAUUGAGGAAUUAUAACAAAUAUUUAUACAAAUCAUUACUAUAUAUCUUAAUGUAGGAACUCAUUCGCAAUUGACAUAAUUUCUUUGAUAAUCACUACUAAGCAUUUCCAUGUAGUUAACAGUACUUGGACGGUCUUGUGUCGUCAACACAUGUUUCUCUACGAAUAAUUUUAUACAUUCAUGUAACGAAAAAAAACUCAUCACACCAAAUAGUGCAUUGUCACUUGAUAUGUUAACUUAUAAUUCUCAUUUGUUAGCUCCUAUUGGACAUCAAACCAUUAUGUGGAGACGGUUUUCCACUCAAUCAUAGUUAGUAACCCUUAUAUAUUUCCCUUUCAAAUUUUCGAAAUGUGAUAUUACGUUGAAUAGCAACCAAUUCUUUACUGCCACCAAGAUAUCGUGGUACAUUAUUGUUCACGACUAAGUUUUCGUCCCAAUGGAUAUAAAAAGUGUUAGAAUUCGUCCACAUUAGGAUUUAUCUAAAAUAUUCCUAAUCCAUAUGGAAUAAGGAAUAAAUAUUGGUAGUUAUCUAAGAUAUUCCUUGUCCGCAUGGGAUAAUAAAUAAAUCUAAGAAAUAUAUCCUAAUCUGUUUAAAUAUCUAUCUAUGUGAGAUACAGUUAGAAUAGGAUUAGGACUAACGUCUCCCUUAUGGCCUAUAAAUAUAUAAGGUAUUGGCCACUUUCAAUAUACAAGAAAAAUUAAUUAAUUUCUCCACAAAAGUCUCUCUCGGGUUCGUUCUAGGGCACCGUCGGAAACCCUAAGGAUUUGGGCGGUGUGCGGUGAUCGACUCUAGUAGCUAGAUUGCGACGAGUAAGAACAACGUGCAACAAAUUGAAAUAGGUAUUUGGCAGAUUAACGAGUUCAUAAAACAAGACGAGGUCUAAUCCUGGUAAUUGUAAUAUAUUCCGCAGUGAAAGAGGUAUGUAAAAAUCUAUAUGAUUUUUGUGAUUUAUUUUGGGUAUUAGUUUAUCCAACAGUGGUAUCAGAGCGGCGUAGUGCUUGUUUUCGCUCGAUGAUCUAUUUUUUUUUUUUAUAUCGAAUAGAUUUUUAAUUGUUGUUUUUUAAACAACAAAUUUGCAUUGAUUCGUAUAAGAGAAAAAAAAUAAUAAUAAUAACCGGCAAAAUUUUUGAGUCGCAAUUGGUAGACUACACCGGGUUUAGAAGUGCAUGAUAGACCAUCUAGCCCGUGAGCUCGACUAGAUUAGGCCCGCUGUGUGUUGGGACCGCAUGCAAGUUUGACCAGCAUACCAGGCCUACGGUGCCCACCCAUGAUGGACUUGCAGGGCUCGCUCGCAAUGGGCCUGCGAGGGCCUUCCCUAAUUGGGCCCUAACGCGUUGGUAGGCCCAAUGCCUUGGGCCGCGGAUGAGCGCAGGCUGCAUUGUGGGCCAAUUGCAGCUCGCAAGCCUAAUUCCGUAAUUCGUGGUCUUGAGUUAUGUUCGAUGUGAGACUUGAACCCACAGCCUUAGCAUAAGGCUUACUUCCUCUAACCAUCCAGACCAAUAUUUAAUUGUGCAAAAUUAUGUAUGUCAUAUUAAUAUGUAUUAGUUAUUGUCGUCUUAUAUACAUUAUAGUUACUUGACAAAAUUGCAAUAUUUUUUUAAUUUGCGAUGUGGAUUUAUUCUUGAUCAAUUUGAUAUAUUAUUUUAAUCUGUAUUGGAUGAGAUGAUUAUUUUCAAAGACGAAAUUUUUUAUUUCAAGAUGCAAUGAGAAAUUUUAUUAUCAAAUUGGAUUGAGAAUAAGAUUAUGGAUAUUUGUGCCUAAUUUAAAAUUAUAUGUAUUAUUAUAGUGAUAUAUGGUUUCCAAAAUAUUUUUAUCGCAGAUUUGCUAUUGAUGAAAAGAAUUAUGUCAUAUGGUAUAGAAAAAUUCAAUAUCUCCUUAAUAAAAGAAGAGUACUUAGCAUUUAACUAACAGCAUGGUUCGGCCUGAAGAUGGCACGACGAUCAGCACUGUUGUGAUUUGCAAGCGUAUAAUGAGUGGCUUGAAAAAGAUCAAAGUGCACGCUAUACGAUGUUGAUCUGUAUGCAUGAUGACUUGAUCAAAGAAUUUGAGAGUUAUGAGACUGCUAAGAAUAUGUUGGAGCAGCUCAAAAUAAAAUAUGUUAGUAUAUCAACCACGAGACUUCGUGUCUUGAAUCUCAAAUUCAAUCAGUACAUGUUGGACUCAAAAUAUACUAUGGCAAAGCACUUGCGGGUGAUGUUUGCCAUGAUAAGAGAACUUAAAGUAGCUGGUUGCGAGCUGACUAACGAACAACAGGUUUAGUCAGUUAUAAGGUCCCUACCGGAUUCAUCUUGGGAUCAAGUCAAGUUAGUGCUAACUCACAAUGAGGGUAGUAAGGCCUUCGAUGUUAUAGCUCGACAUCUUGAGUUGGAAGCAAAGCGCAGAGAGGCGAACCAUACAAACGCACUUGUUGCCCAUGGUGGAUAGUGCAGAGGCAAGUGGCCUAAGCGUAAACACCGAAAUGGAGAAAACAAAUAUAGAAGACUGGGAAUCGCACGUCGAAUGAGGGCGGAAUAGAUAAGCGCUGCAAAGGCAUGCGUGGAAAGAAAAACUUAAAUAAAGUGAAAUACUAUAACUGUGGAAACAUGGGACACUUCGCUCGUGAUUGCACUGAGCUGAAGAAGGUAAAUCCUAAUCCUGACUCUCUUAUUUAUGUAUGUUCUCAUGUUUUUGUUGCUCACGUUUUCUCUGAUUGGAUUGUAAACACCGGAGCAACAAAGCAUGUAACGAGAGAUCGAGCAGAAUAUGUGGAUUAUCAUCGAUGUCUACCGGCAGCCAUUAUGUCACGAUAGGAAACGACACUGCGGAAGAAGUCCUUGGUAUUGACGCAUACCAAUUUAGAUUGCACAAUGGUUGUUAUUUAAUAUUACAUGAUGUGCUGUAUGCACCAAAUAUUCGAUGUAAUCUAUUAUCAGUUUUAGCAUUUUAGAUUAGGUUUUUUCUUUUCAAUUUAUGGAUACCUAGUUAGCUAUUUAUUUGGGUAAGGACUUUUAUGGUAAUGGCUAUUUAAAGAAUGAUUUCUUUGUCUUAAAUUUGGACUUGGAUUUUAUUAAUAACAAUAAUAAUUUUGAUUUAUUAGUUUCUUCUGAUAUCGUGUCUAAUUCUGUAAAAUGGUAUGCAAGAUUGGGUCACAUUGGACAAGAAAGAAUAGUUAGACUAGCUAGAGAAAGCCUGUUGGGGUCACUCGCUAAGCUUAGCCUACCUCCUUGUAAACCAUGUUUAGUAGGAAAGGCCUGCAAAAAGCCAUUUGGUAAGGCACGUAGGGCGACUCAUCCUUUGGAGCUAGUUCAUUCUGACAUAUGUGGACCUAUGAAUGUGAGAGCACGUCAUGGCGCGUACUAUUUCCUCACUUUCAUUGGUGACUAUUUUCGUUUUAGUUCAGUAUAUCUGUUGUCUCACCAUUCAGAAAGUUUGGAUUACUUUAAAUGCUUCUUGGUGGAGGUUGAUAACCAAAUUGAAAGAACUCUAAAAGUUCUACGUACUAAUAGAGGGCGAGAGUAUUUAUCAGACCAGUUUAGAAAACUAUGUGAGAAAAAAGGGAUACGCAGACAGUUGGCUAUCUAAAAUAUUCUUAAUCUAUAUUGGAUAAGGAAUAAAUAUUGUUAAUUAUCUGAUAUAUUCCCGGUCCGCAUGAGAUAAGGAACAAAUCCAAGAACUAUAUCCUAAUCUGUUUAAAUCUCUAUCUAUGUGAGAUUCAGUUAGAAUAGGAUUAGGAUUAACGUCUCCCUUAUGUCCUAUAAAUAUAUGAGUUAUUGGCCAUAUUCAAUACACAAGAAAAAUUAAUUAAUCUCUCCACGAAAGUCUCUCUCAGGUUCGCUCUAGGGCACUGUCGGAAACCCUAGAGAUUUGGGUGGUGUGCGGCGAUCGACUCUAGUAGCUAGAUUGUAACAAGUAAGAACAACGUGCAACAAAUUGAGACAGGUUGUUGGCGGAUUAACGAGUUCGUAAAACAAGAUAAGAUCCGAUCCUGGUAAUUGUAAUAUAUUCCGUAGCAAAAGAGGUAUGUAAAAAUCUAUAUGAUUUUUGCGAUUUAUUUUGGGUAUUAAUUUUAUCCAACAGAAAGGAACACAUUCGUUGGGCAUAGAGUUCUAAACUAAUAUAAUAAAAUAUACAAAAGUAUUACACUUAUGACAUAUUAACAUAGAACAUCUCUAACAGACAACAAAGGAGAGGGUGAGUGAUGGAAUUAGCAUUUUGCGGACACGGUCGGUGCGACUUCUAUGCUGUCACACCCUGAAUUACUACGUUUUCCCGAGCACGCCAAUAGACCGACCAUAUACAUAGAAAUUUCUCGUGUAUACGAAGCGAUAGCUAUACCUGUAAAUAAAAUAUAGCUACAUAAGAGGUAAGGAGCUGCUAUAACUAAACCAAACAUAUAUAUAAAACAUAAAAGGGUCCAUUGUACAUACAUGAGCCACAUAACAACCUCACUCUAGUGAGUAUCACUACUAUAACAGUAUGCACAAGGUAACAACCCAAAACUACCUCUAACGGGUGCUCCUCUAGCAAAAGACCAGGAAUGGAAAGGAUCUAGCUCGCGACUCCCUUACCACGGUCGAAAUCAGCAGCAGCAGUAGCCGCAGACAAAGGCUCUGCAAAAAAGUGGCAACAACUGGGUAUAAGAACUGCUGCAAAACAGAGUAGUCCUCAGUGGGUACCAUCACCGACCUCAAUGGCCCGCCCACUAAGUCUACAGUAAGGUAUGCAAAGAAUAGUAAGGAAAGCUGAAAAGAACUCUACAGUUACAUUCCACUAUAUUAUCGCUAACCAACACAGGCUAUCUGUAGACAUAAACAUGCAUCAUACUGACCCAAUCUCACAAGAGCUGCCCAAACGGACCCACCCUGCCUGUAGCCAAGCUACACCGUACACCACCCAUGGGGGUAGCCGGUCCAUGUACACUGUCCAAACAUGACUACUGUGACAUCAACGCAAGUAAAGCCUUACUCCGGAGCAGCAUUCGUGGGCGCGACCCAACCGAGUAUUCAAGCGUGUCUCUGUUGAGCUCAAUCAAGCUCACAAAGGCUAUAGUCGAUGCAAAUGGGUCAAACUGGUCUAACAACCAAAGUUCACGUGCCCUCGGCACAAUCUGAAACAAGAUGUAAACAUAUGGGUCCACCGUCCUCCUCGACGGCACCCGAUAGUACGGAACAGUCCAAAUGCUAUUGUAAAAUGAGCUCGGCCCCCUAGCACGAGUGUAAACUCAACCUACACUAAUCUGAGUAUCCACUAUGCACUAACAGCGGUGAUACAAAAGAAUAACAGCUCCUGAAGCCAAAUUCAGUAACUUUUUGAAAAGUGACAAGUGUAGGUUUACGAGUUUUGUCCUAAGUCAAAUCUCAGUUCAACAUGUAACAAAUAUUCUAACAUUAAUGCUCCAAAUUUAGAUUUCAUAUAAACAUGCAAAUCUAUGAAUUCAAGCUACUAAACAUGAUGAACGAAGCCAAGAAUACAUGCUGACAACUCUAUGACUUAGAAGGAAAUCUGACGAUUUUGGUAAAAAUUAACCCACCUCGAACGCUCGUCCAACAUCAACUAGAAGUCGAUAGGAGAAGCCUCACGCUACCUCGACCUCCAACGGCCUCAACUAGACUCAACCACGUCGCGCGCGCAAUCCUCCAAAGACAAGCGAAGAAAACUAAGAUCGAGCCUGAAAAAAUGCUAGGAAGAAGGCAAGAGAGCUAGAGAGAGAAAAGGAGCCACCCUACCUGAGUUCUCCAAGCUCCAAGCACAAUUGAGAGAGUAACAGGGUCGGUUUGGUUUUAUCGCCAACAAAAAUGACCGAAAGGCUCUUUACCAACUCAAUUUGCCUUUUGGAGUACCGGUACACAACUUGGGUACCGAUACUCAGCCCUUUUUCUGCAAGCUCGCGCGUUGGGUACCAGUACUAGCCCGAUGCAGUAUCGGUACUCAGUCCCAGUACCGGUAUUCACUAACAGGUACCGGUACUAAGUAUCAACUGCGCAAACCCGAGCGCAUUCAGUUCUGUAAUCCCUCUGGGGUACCGGUACGCCUCCCAGAUACCGGUACUCAACACUGAAAUCCUGCACUUCGCAGAUUUCAGUGUCAGAACUCUACUCACACUACGUCGAGUUUGUUUUGCGUCCAAUUCACGCUAAAAUGACUCUGACUUAUCCCGGUACCCACCAGACGUGUCAACAAGCUACAGAUGCUGAAGUCUCGCAGGCAACCCAACACGAGGGACAAUACAUAUGUUGAUUAAAAGCUCUGGAGGGAAGGGGUUGAUUACAGAGAGAGAGUAAUCUGAGAGAGAGAGAGAGAGAGAGAGAGAGAGAGAGAGAGAGAUAGAGAGAGAGAGAGAAUGAUUUGUGAGAGAGUGUGUGUGUGAUCUGAGAGAGAGAAAGGGAGGGGGGGUCAGAAAGAGAGAAUGGGGUUCUGUAGAGGGGUUUGGGGGAAGGGGUAAUAGGUGUAUAGAGAGAAUAAAAGAAAGAGAUAAAUGUGAGAGGUAGGGGGCUCUGUGAGAAAGGUUGGGGGGGUGUGCGUAGUGAGAGAGUGAGAGGAAGAAAGAGAGGUGAGAGGUGGGGGGCUCUGUAAGAAGGGUUGGGGGGGUGAGGGGGUGUGCGUAGUGAGAGAGUGAGAGGAAGAGAGAGAGAUGGGGGGUUCUAGGGUUAGAGAAAGAAUGAGGAGAGGGGGGGAUAGCUUAGGCCAUAGAAAGAGAGAGAGAGAGAGAGAGAGAGAGAGAGAGAGAUCCGGAGAUCGAGCGAGAGAGGAGGUGGGGAAGAUAGCUUGGGCAAGGUAAGCGGUCUAAUACGAAGAGAACACGGUGAAUGAUUUAUCGUGUUCAACUUAACAUCUUGGCACUAGCCCUGCUCGCGUGGCGCUGACGUGAGUCACGUGACGCCCGCAUGGCAGGGAGAAGACCAAAAUUGUAAUUAUAAAUUUGGUGAGGCUAUUUUUGAAAUAAAUUUUUGAGGGAGCCAAAUACAAAAUAAAAGCCUUUUUUAUAAUAGUCUCCUGUUAGCUUUACAAUAAUAUUUUUCUAAGUAGAAAUAGAUUAAUUAGGUAAAAAGAUUAAAACUUUAGAACUGUAAAAAAAAUCAUGACAAGUAUCUGCUUUUAGCCCAAAAAAACGUAUGGUGACUAAUAAAAAAAAAUACUUGAAGUGAACAAAUGAGCCACUUUGCAAAAUCCAAAAAUUAAAAAAUGACUAAAAAUAAUUAAAUAUGUGUAAAGUGAACGUCAAUAUGAAAAUUGCAAUUACUUGUUUCGGUACUCAUACAAAAGACUACCUUUAAAUUUUUCUCACCAAGAAUGGAUGGGGCUUCCUCAUCUACAGGCCUUAUUCACGUGAACCGGUUAAAAUUUUCUUUUGAAGUGACUUUUUUUUUUUUUUUUUUUUUUUUUUCAAGAGUAAAUUUCAAUUUGCUCUCUUAGGUUAAGCUUACAUUUUUACUUUGAUAUUUCUAUGUUCAAAACUUGCACUCUGCUAUUGUAUGAUUUAAUUUUUAUUUUAUUUAAAAAUUUUAUGUCAAAUAGGAUGGCAAAGUAAAAAAUUUUAAAAAAAGUCAUAUGAUGAGAAAAUAAAAAAUUGUGGUAAACCACAAGAUAGUUAAUUGUCAAAGAGCUUGUUUUUGUGUGUGUCGGUGUGUUGAUUUGAAACGUAAUUUUUUUUUUCAAUUUAGUAUAAGGUCGGGCAAAAAACUUUCUAAAUUUAACUUUUUAGCUAACUAAGUUUAGGCUUAACCUUGUAAACUUAUCCAUCAACUUGUGUUAUAGGGCCAAAACACGCUUUCUAGAUGAUUAUUUUUUUCAUUAGGAAACAACUUAAUUCAGUAAGAAAAUUAAAACUUCAAAAUUAUAAAAUAUUAUGACUAAUUAUAUUUUUUUAACAUUAAAUUGAUACAAUGACUAAUAUGAGACUUCAGAUAGUUAUAUAUAUAUAAGAAGUAAUAGGGCUGAACUUGUAACUCAGCUUAAGCAUUUUGAGUGAUGGUUAGAUCCAAGAGAUUAAGAGAGUUAAGCGUGCUAGGACGAGAGUAGUCCUAGGAUGGAUGACCCCCUGGAAAGUUUGGGUGUCACAGUUGGUAUUAGAGUUAAUUACUAGCCGCAAGUGUGAGAUGAGUCUUAGCUGAAUCAGGGUCAAAAUGACAAUGCUAGCAAGACGAGUCUCUCAUCGCCUGAUACUUGUGAGUCUGAGCCUGAUGCGGACGUCAGGGCUUAAAAGGGGGAGAAUGUGAGACCCCAGAUAGUCCUAUAUAAAAGGUAUAAUAGGGCUAAAUUCUUAACCCAACUUAAGCAUUUUGGAUUGUGGCAUUUUGGGUGAUGGUUAGGCCCAAGAGGUUAAAAGAGUUAAGCAUACUAGGAUAGAAGUCCUAGAAUGGGUGACCCCCUGGGAAGUUAGGGCAUCACAACGGUACAUAUCAUUUACUCAUAAUUUAGAGGGGAUAUAUUUUGGUAAAAAAAUUAAUGGCUAUAAAUUUUAGGCCAAUUUGCAUAAAAAAUCCACAAGUUUUGAGCUUUUGCAAAAUUUGGCUGUCUUUUUUUAUUUUGCAGAUUCAAUUCGAAUUUUCAACAAACUGAUCAAAAUACCCUUAUUUCUUUUUUUCCCUCCUUUUUUUUUCUCUCGUUCCUUUUUUUUUUCUUUCCGAAGAGGCAGUGGAGGCAGAGGCCUUUGCCUGCGCACCCUCGUUCUCGACUGCGCCCGCACCUCCCGCCCUCCUCGCCUCCAACCCUGCCGAGGCAGCGCCGCUGCCUUCUUUUUUUACUCUUCGACCCUCCUCCACGGCCUCUCCGGCCCAUCCGAUGGUAACGAGGACGGCAACAUGUUCUCUUUCUCCGCCUUCGCUUUCCAAAUCUACUGUAGCAGAUUUUGCACCCACCAAACUCACUUCUAGGAACGUGUUGUCCACACCACCGCUGCCGACGACAAAGAGGAAGUGCUUUUCAGCGCCGAAAAGCUCGCCGGCGAGGGAAGGGCCAAGCGGCCCACCCGCCUACCCUAGAGGGCGACGGUGAGCGCGGCCUCGGCGAUGUUGGAGGCGAAGAAGGCGAGGGGUGCAUGGAAGCAUCUUUGGAUUAGCAGUUUUGUUUGUUUAAAACUAAACAAUAUUAACUAAAGGCCAAAAAUUAGAGAAUAAUAAAGAAAAUCGAGAAGAAGGAAGAAAAUGAUGAAUUUUCACUGUUUUAAAAGAAUGUUGCACUAUUAUAAACGUAAGUUGCACUAUUUGAGAUGUAAACUGCACCCUUUAAGAUGAAAGUUACACUUUUUAAAUAAAAAUUGUACUCUUUGGGAGAUAUUUACACACUCUUUGAGAUGUAAAUUGCAUCUUUUAAAAUGAGAGUUGCAAUUUUUAAAUGAAAGUUAUACUCUUUGAGAGAUAUUUACACUAUUUUUUCUCUUAAAAGGUGCAGUUUAUACCUCAAAGAGUGCAACAAGAGGGAAAAUAGUGUAAAUAUAUCUCAAAUAGUGCAACAAGAGGAGAAACAGUGUUAGUGUUUCUCCUCUUGUUGCACUAUUUGAUGUAUAAACUGCACCUUUUACGAGAAAAAAUAGUGUAAAUAUCUCCCAAAGUGCAACUUUUCUUUAAAAAGUAUAACUUUUAUCUUAAAGGGUGUAGUUUAUAUUUCAAAAAGUAUAACUUACAUCCAUAAUAGUGCAACGUUCUUUUAAAACAGUGCAAUUUAAUCUUGUAACGACUCAGCCCACUAGCAACAAUAACUUGUUGGGCCCAACCACCGGCCCAAAAUGCUUAAGCCCAGUUAUUAUUGUUAGUGUCUAAGUCUCUUAUAUACCCAAUGACAUUCUCAUUCAUAUCCGAUGUGGGAUUAUUGGGGUAUGACAGACUCCCCCCGUUAAGGCCCUGACGUCCUCGUCAAUCCAAUCACACACACAGCCCAAGAUCACCAAGCGAUGUGAGACUUGUCUCGCUAGCCUUUGUCAUUCCGACCCUGACUUAGCCUAUCAAUCAUCGACCCUGGCUUAGUCUGUCAUUCCGACCCUUACUCAGUCAAGACCCAUCUCAUACUUCCGGCUGGUGAACUGCCUCUGAUACCAAAUGUAACGACUCAACCCACUAGCAAUAAUAAUUUGUUGGCUCCAACUACCACCCAAAAUGCUUAAACCCGGUUAUUAUUACUAAUGUCUAAGUCUCUUAUAUACCCAAUCACAUCCCUAUUCCUAUCCAAUGUGAGAUUAUUGGGGUGUGACAAAUCUUAACAGUGCAACUUCAUUUUCUUCUUCUUUCUUCUCUGGUUUUCUGUAUUAUUCUCUAGUUGUUGGCCUUUAAGUUAUUUCCUUUUGUUUUAAACAAAUGAAAGUGCUAAUUUAGAUAUGCUCCCGUACAAUUCUCGCCCUCCUCAACUCCGACACUGUUGAAGCCGCGCUUACCGCUGCCCUCUGGGGUAGGCCGGUGGGCCGCGUGCCCCCUCCCUCGCCGGCGAGCUUCUCGGUACCAAGAAAUGCCUCUUCUUUAUCGUCGGUGGCGAUGGUGGGGACGCAAGUUCCCAAAAGUGGGUUCGGUGGGUACAAAUUUACUUUCACCCAAGUGUAACUAUUUUUCUCCCCCUCCCUCGUGGGCGUGCUUCUCGGCCUCAAAAAGCACUUCCUCUUCAUCAUCGGCAACGACAGUGGGGAUGGCGAGUUUGUUUGGCGGAUGGAAAAUCCGCUGUAGUGAAGGUGGAGGGCGAAGACGGAGGAAGAGGACGCGGUACCAUCCUCGCUAUCGUCGUGGAGGGCCGAGAAGGCGGUGGAGGAAGGUCAGAGAGAAAAAAAAGAGGGUUGCCGCGCAGCCUCGACGGGGUCGGAGGCUAGGAGGGUGCGGGGUGCACGGCCGAGGGCAGGGGCAAAGGCGAGGGUGAGGGCGGGAGGGGCAGAGGCGAGGGGGGUUGUUUCUGCCUCUGCCUCCGCCGCCAUCUUCAACGAGAAAAAAAAAAUGCGAGAAAAAAAAAAGAGAAAGAAAAAGAUAUAAGAGUAUUUUGGUCAAUUUACUGAAAAUCCGGACUGAAUCCGCAAAAUUGAAAAAGGUGGACCAGUUUUGCAAAAGCUCAAAACUUGUGAAUUUUUUAUGCAAAUUGGAAACAAAUAAAACUAGGUAAAGUGAAAAUAAUAAUAAAACUGCAAGUACCUAGAGCAGGACUCAAAAAGGAAUAGCUUUAAAAUUAAUUUUGUCACGCCCUACACUUCAGCGAAAGCUCACCAGUCGCGUGCACAGACCCGCCGUAUACACCACCACCUCUAGUGUAUACCAGGCGUCUACAAUCCACAUAGUAAAAGCAUAAUAUCUUAACCGGGUAAUCAGAGCAAACCUUAAAAGUUCAAAAGCUUAUAUCAACAUAAAACCAAAAUACAACUUAAAAGUAAAGUAUAAAGUACAUUCUAACAGUCCCAAUAUACAUCUCUGAACUAAACUAAAAUAAGCUUGCAUCAGUUCAUCUAUUUAACACCGACGAGGUUCUAGCUAGCUGCUGACCCCUUGCUAGGAACCCUAGCCUUUCCCACUGCGGAAGGCUCUAUACAAAAGCAACCAACAAAAGAGCAUGAGAACUAUUUAACAAUAGUUUCCAGUGGGUAAGCCGCCGAGAGUGGCGAAGUACACCACUAGGUCAACUGAGGCAUGAGUAAACAACAAUAAAUAAGAAAUGUAAAUACAACAAACAUAUAAAGUGAAUUUACUAUAAACAUGUCUCAACAAGAUAUGCUUUCUAACAUGUCUUAUGUACUAGUUCAUCAUAUACAAGUUUUAUGAGUCAUGCUAAUUAUCAGUUUAAUCAUCUAUAUGUCAAGAUUCAUGCAGGAUAUCAUCAUUACAGUUUAACUAGCUAAUGACAUCAUGUAGCUAUCUUCCUACACUAACAGAAGUGUAAUCAUACAGGUAAUGUCAUUACAUCUAAUGACUAACAGGAUUGGCUACCGUCUAGUAUGUUUAUUACUAGAUAUAUUUCAACUAAUGACAUAAAGUACCUUUACUACUAUGUCCAUUUAAGGUUAAACUCAUUUACAUUAACCCAAUUAACAAGAGACUUACACUUGGUAAAGUCCUGGCUCGUGCCAUGCCUAAUGGCCCCGUGGAAGUUAACACUACCCACGGCAAUCGACUUCGACGCUCAGUCUCAUACAAGCGAUCUGCUGUAGCGUAGGCCAACUCCGGAGUGCCGAAUUGUAGGGCGCGACCCUCACAUGCAUGUGCGAAUGAGCAUAUUGGCAAGCAAGCGUAAUCCAUAGUAUAGUAUUCACAAGUUCAUCAUGUCUCUAACAUGAAAUCUUAUCUUUGACACAAGGUCGACAAUUAACAAUAAGUCAUAUUCUACUAUCAACUACUUGGUGACAUAUUUCAACCAAUGGAUAUUAUGACUUAAACAGAUACAUGAUUUAUAUCAUAUUGAUGAUUCUAACGGCUAUACCCGCAUACUCACAUAUAGUCCUCUCACUACUCUUUGCACAUAAAGAAAGUGGUUUACUAAGGUCAUACUCAAUGACUCACUCUGGUUAUCACAUAACUCAUGGCACAUAUCCUAUAUCUCUACAUAAACCUCCACUACAUGGAGUAAACAAGUAUUAUGCAAUUACUUCUACUUGACUACACAAGUAUAACAUUUCACGACCCUUAGGUCAUAAUCUAUAUCAUUAGGUCCAAUUCUAGUUAUUUAAAUAGAUCAUAUUCAAUAGUAUAAUGUUCAUGUUAUGUCAAAAUGCCCAGUUCUAGUUACUUAACUAGAUCAUACAUAAGAACACAAAAUUCAUGCGAUUUCUACCAUGUGAAAAAUGAUAAUCAACUUGUUAACACAAGUAGGCAAGACAUCAUAUAAGGUACUCUAUAUAUGAUUUCUAUACAAUUCAGUCCACAAUAUAAAUGUAUAUGUAUGUAACUCCAUUAUAUAUAAUAUGCUAGAAGUUCUGUCAUCAUUUCUACCACAUGAAAUUACAUGAUUUAACUCAAAGGUACGACAUCAUAAUACUGUUGGAACAAAUACCGCACAGAAAUCUGAUUGUGAUUUAAAUCUAACAAAAUCUUAUGAUAAAAUUAAUAAAAUCAACUUACCGAUAAUCGCUAAGUCCAAAUAAAAAUUUAAUUGAUCCGGAAGCGUGCGAGGCACUGCCCUAAGGCGUAUUUCCGUCCUUACGUGCGGGAUUAACCGGAAAUAACACCCCAAGGUACGACCGGAAUUCCUCCUCCUGCGAGCACGAUCGUGAAGGAGGUUGACGGAGACUCUUUCAACACCCGAUGAUAAAGAAAUCAAGUAAAUAAACAAUUGAUAAAAAAACUUAAAUUAAAACCCUCUUUUCACUUGUUGUUUUUCCACCGUGUUCAUAUAUCUAUGAACAGUAGAACAAGUGUAUAUAAAUAUAUAUACAGGGGAAUGAGAAAACUUAACGUUGGUAUUCCCAACGUUAACAUUUUCUUAAUUAGCCCUUUUAAUUAGCACCCACAUGAAUGUCCGCAUGGAUUCCAUGCGGACAAAUAGCGCGAGCAUGCGUAACGUCCGCGCGUGCACAGUGCGUGCGGACGUUCGCUUAAAAAAUAAUAAUAAUAAAAAUAAAUUAAAUUAAUAUUUUAAAAUAUGAAAUUUAGAGAUUUUGAAUUUUCUCCAACAAAUACAUCAUUCAUUCAAUUGUACAACUAACUAAAUGUCAUAUUCAUAGCUUUACAGCUAUUUAUUAUUGAAUGAUGUCAUACUUAACUUGUCUACACAAGUUUACUAAUAUCAUGAAUACAUGCUAAACGAGCGAGUAAUCUAUAUAAGCUAAGCAAUUUCAUAAUCUUUCCUCUACUACAUAGAGAUUCUCUGAUGUCCGAUAUAAAAUGCAUAUUGAUGCAUACACCAAACAUUCACACAUAUAUCCAAAUGAAUAUGCAAUAAUUCUAAUUUUAUAAUGUCGAAGAAGACAUAGAAGGAAUUCACCCAUUUCGGUAAGGUUAAACCCACCAAAUAGUCGACGACUCUCAUCGAUCUCGCAAGCGAAGGUGUUCGCUAGCCUCCAAGUACCCUAACAAGCAUACUAAAUCAGCUAAGAGUUUCAACCGAGCUUCACAUAAGAAUCUCACAUAAUCACUUCACUUAGGUAGAAUUUUACCUCGUAUAGAGUCCCAAAUUUGAGCUCCACUUCAAUUCAAGUUGGAGUACAUCAAAACCAACCUAUAAGAGUCAUUCAAACUCAGCCAAAGUGGUUUCUGUAAUCUGCUGUGAGUAAAUACCAUAAACUCCACUAAAGCAUCUAUUACAAUAUCAAAACUAGUGAAAUAGUAGCUAGUUUACCUUUCACAACUUCAACUCAGUUUCAACUGAGUUAGGAUUGAAGAAUCACAGCCAAAACACCUCUUCUAUAGCUGCUACAAACCUCCCCCAAAUCAGCUAGCAACAAAGAAGCAAGACUAAGCUCAAAUCCACUGCUACAUCUACUAAUACCUCAAAAUUAGUGAUUAGUGGAGUUUCUCACCUACAUCUACUAAUACCUCAAAAUUAGUGAUUAGUGGAGUUUCUCACCUCAACAAGCUUUAACUCAAUUUCUAGCUGAGUUAGAACUGAGAAAUGCUUCCCAAAACUCUCCUUUUCACCCUUCUAUAGCAGCUCCAAAACCCUCCAACUCAGCUAGCAUCAAGAGAGGGAAAGAAAUAAGCUCAAAUCUAUUGAUUUCCACUAAAAAUAGAAGAAAAACUAGAGAGAGAGAGAGAGAGAGAGAGAGAGAGAGAGAGAGGGAAAGGAGCUCUUACCCUAUUCUUCAGCUCAAACAUGAUAAGAACCAGCUAGGGGGUCGAGUUGGGAGGUUUAAAGAUAAGCCUCAAAAUGAAAUUACCAAGAAACCCCCUUAUCCACGCAGCUGCUAUAUUGGAUAGCGGUACUCGGGUUGAGGGGUACCGAUACUCAAUAAAAAAAAAAAUAGAUUUCGUAUUAUCCAAUGCACUUUCACUCUUCCGGCCACUUAAUCACUCAAGUAACAUGCCGAAAAUCUCUCAACAACCCCUCACAAGAUCUAGAAUAGUUUCAUUACUAUUCUAACACUCGAACUUUGCAAUUUGCUAAAGUUCAGUGUACUACAAUUUUAUUAUUUUAUUUUAUUUAUUUUAUUUAUUUUUCUAAAAGAAAUUAACAUUUCAUGCACAUAAUAUGCAUCCCACCUUAACUUACAUCGAAAAUUUAUUUAAAGGACAAAUUCGCCCUCUUAGGCUUAGUUUGGUAUUGAGGUCUAUCUAACGCUAUUAGAUAAAAUAGAGUUGAGGAAAAAACAUAAAGGGAUAUGAUUCUGUGUUCUCCGGUGGGACCGCAGAAAAUAUAUCUAACCGACUCAUCGCGAUUUGCGGAACGCAAUAUUACGUACGGAAACAAACAGAGUAUUUUUCCAAUGUACUUUCUUAUCACACGUAACACAAUCUCCCCGCAAUUCCAAACGAAGCUUUAGAUAUUUCCCUCAUCUAGAAACGACGUUCAAGUGGUUCAUUAACUUUUUUUUUUUUAAUUGACCUUUUAUUUACUUCUAGUAUAUUAAUUUAGUUCAAUUAUUAGUCAAGCUUACAAUUUUACUAAAUCUAAUAAUUUUCACCAACUUCCCUCCAUCCUCCAACGUAGUACACGCCUCGCGGUCAAAAAUAGAGAAAACAAAAAGUCUUCCAUGCAGAAAGCUCAGGAUCUAAGGUGCAAGAAGAUUAGAGUCAUGAUUCCCACCUCGAAGCCGCCUCGCCCACGACUGAUUGCACGACUUUCCGGGGCUCAAGCCGAGGUCGAUUUGGGGGCCUCCGGUUCCUUUGUAGAGACGGAUGAGAUCUCCGGCUCUUUUGCAGGACAGACUAAUGCGACACCUCCGAUGAGUGACUUGGCCUCGCCUCAGAAUAGAGACACUACCCACCCCCUUACUCCCGAUGAGAUACAGCUUAUCAAGACUGUCUGUGGUAUUUUUGAUAUAGAUGUUGGUGCGGCGCCUAUUUGUCAGAACGCUCAUGCUCGCUUUAUUGGGGCAAACUAUACAGGGGUGUAGCUUUUGUUCCUCACUGCUUGGACUUGGGAUGUUCCUCUUUUCUUUAUGGCUAGAAACAGAAUCUUUCGAUUUCUUACUUGGAAUGUACGAGGCCUCAACGACCCCUCUAAGUGUGCUGUAGUCAAUCUCUUCCUUCGGCAUUGCAAAUGCUGUGUUGUAUGUUUUCAAGAAACAAAACUUUCCUCUACUUCUAGUGCCAAGUUUCGCUCUUUUUCUGGCCUCCAUCUGCUUGAUUUUCGGACCCUAAACGCAGACAGAACUAGAGGAGGCCUGCUAACUGCCUGGAAUCCAUCUUUAUUUGAAUGUACUCAAGACUGGGCUGGCAGAUUCUCGCUGACGGUGGUGUUAAAGAGGAUUGUGGAUGGGAGGUUAGUAACAAUCUCGAACGUCUAUGGGCCUACGACAACAAACUUGCGUCCAGAUUUCUUCCUUGAGAUUCGUGCAAUUGGUGAGCGGGUGAUGGGCGCGUGGAUUGUGCUCGGUGACUUCAAUGUUCUUCUCUCCGUCCAGGACACGAAUGGACCCAAUGCAAACAUUACCGACAUUUUGAAUUUCAGAGAAGUUGUGCAUGACCUGGGGCUGCUUGACCUUCCCUUACUCAAUAAAUCCUUUACUUGGUCCAAUGGUAGGGGUGCCCCGACUCUAGAACGUCUGGAUCGCGCCUUUAUCUCCAAUUCCUGGCUCCUAGCUUUUCCCCGAUCCACUCUCCGAGCACUCCCGCGACCUCGAUCUGACCACACGCCCUUGGUACUUGCUGCCUUUACUUUUAUUCCUCACGCAAAUUUAUUCAGAUUUGAGAGCUACUGGCUGCGACACUCGGCUGUUUUCAAGGUGGUAGCCACGGCGUGGAACUCAAACUCGUUUCUGCGGGAUUCCGACCUGGUGAGCCUCUUCUCGCAGAAAAUCACUUCUGUUCAAUCGACUCUGCGUUCUUGGAGUGUGGGCCUCCCCUCAGCAUCUAAGGAACAGACCAAACUUUGUCUUCUAUGGAUCCAAUGGCUCGACAAAGCAGAAGAAGGAAGGGUCUUAUCGAACCUCGAGCGCAGCUUGAGACCGAAGCUUAAGGCUAGAUACGAAGAUCUAUGCUUACGGGAGGAGAUCAAGUAGAAGCAGAGGUCCAGAGUGCAUUGGCUCAAGGUAGGAGACGCAAAUACCAAAUUUUUUCAUCUCAAGGCAAAUGCUCGUAGGAACAAAAAAUACAUCUCCAAACUCUCUAAUGGUACUUCCACACUCUCCUCGCCCGAGCCUAUCGCGGAGCACCUAUUCUCCUUCUUUUACAACCAACUGGGGGUGACACAAGAUCCUUCGGCCAAAAUCGACCUCCAUGCUGCCUAUUGUGAUGAGACCAUUGAUCGCUCUGGCCUUCAGAGCCCGUUCACUUUACCUGAAGUUAAGAGAGCUGUUUUCUCUUGUGCUCCUGAGAAAGCCCCAGGCCCCGAUGGGCUACCGAUGCUUUUCUACCAACGGUUUUGGAACCUCCUCAAAGAUGACAUUAUGAGUGUUUCCAACUGCUUCUACAAUAACACGACUAAGCUGGACUUGAUCAAUACGACGUGGUUGUGUCUUAUUCCGAAGAAGAAGGAGGCUCUAUUCGCCAACGACUUUCGCCCUAUAAGCCUAGUACACAGCAUGGCGAAACUGAUCUCGAAGGUUCUAGCAUCAAGACUACAAAUCUUCUUACAUGAUUUACUCAACCCCUACCAAGCUGCUUUCAUCAAGGGUCGACAUAUUUUCGAUAACUUCAACUGUGCCCAUAUACUCAUCCACCACCUACAUACCGCCAAAGCCCGAGCAGCCUUGUUGAAGAUCGACUUCGAACGGGCCUUCGAUCGAAUAAAUUGGUGUUUCCUAUUCGACCUGCUACAAGCAAGGGGAUUUACUCCACGCUGGAUCUCUUGGAUCCAAGCCCUACUUCAAACAGCUAGCACGGCCGUGAUUCUCAAUGGCACUCCGGGCAAAAGGUUUACGUGUAAGAAGGGGCUGCGACAGGGCGAUCCGCUCUCUCCCCUGCUCUUUAUUUUAUGCAUAGAUGUUUUGUUCAGGUUGCUCCAGAAGGCAACGACAAGCCGCCUACUACCAGAUCUUGGGAUCGGAAACGAAAGGCUGCACACACUCCAAUUUGCGGAUGAUCUGAUUAUCUUUUUGGAUGGCUCUAUAAGGUCAGUUGCAACUACUAAGUUCAUACUUGACAUGUUUGCGGCAUGCUCGGGACUCUCAAUCAAUUUCAAUAAAAGCUCUAUCACGCCAAUCAACCUACCUACUUCCCAAUCAACAUCCCUAGCUAAUUCUAUAGGCUGCUCGGUGAAAGAUUUUCCGCUAACAUACUUGGGCUUACCUCUCUCUCCUAAAAAACUACGUAAAGCUGAUUAUAUGCCGCUUAUUGAGAGGCUUGACAAUUGUUUGGCGGGAUGGAAAGGGCUUACACUUUCAAGGGGAGGUCGACUAGUGCUUCUAAAUUCGGUUCUCUCGAGCACCCCUUUGUAUUUUUGUUCGCUGUUUCAAAUGCCGGCCUGGGUGAUAAAGUCCAUGGACAAAAUACGACGCCAUUUUUUUUGGAGGGGGCAAAAACUGCAUAAUGGCUUCCACUGCCUAGUCAAAUGGGAACAUGUAUGCCGUCCGAAACAUGCGGGCGAAUUGGGAGUCCGAAACCUUUAUGCGAUGAACUCGGCCUUACUCAUGAAGGGAUUAUGGAAUUUUUACAAUUCCCCAGACCUUCCUUGGGUCAGGCUACUCAAGCAAAAGCAUUAUAAGCUUUGACAACUGUCGAUUGGAGGUAACCCGACCAUUAGAUGUUGCCAAAUCUGGAAAGGAAUACUCAACACCGCACCUCCUUUUCAUGUGUCCACUUGUGUAUCACUGGGCAAUGAGCAGACUACCUCCUUCUGGAAUGCGAGGUGGUCCGGUGAGUUCUCACUGCGGAAUCAAUUUCCCAAUCUCUAUGCAAUUUCAACCCAUAAACAUCUCUCGGUUGCUACUUGGAUGCGAUGUUUUGCUCAAAACAUCACACUAGCCUUCCAACCUGCGGCACUCCUGCGAGAACAAAUGGAAGAGCUCCCACAACUCACAACGUUGAUCCAGAGCACUCUCCUAUCGAAUGCUAACGAUUCAACCGUUUGGCGCUGGAAUGACGAUGGCCGGUUUGAGGUACGUAGAGCUUACAACUUGCUUAUCUUCGAUGGCAGGAUUGUUUACGGCAUCCCUUUCCUCUGGAGCCUCAAGAUCCCUUUGAGAGUUAAAGUUUUUAUUUGGCUCGCCGCGAGAAACAAAAUCCUCACAGCCGACACACUAUCCAAAAGGGGCUGGCAUAGUCCUUCGAUUUUCGUUCUCUGUUCGAUCAACGGGGAGAACUUAGAACACAUCCUUUUCUCUUGCAAUUAUGCAAAGGCUGUUUGGAACCUCCUGCUGCAAUCCGCUCCAACAACUCGGCGCUUGUUGCUGACACAGCCAGGGGACUUAUUAGAGAGAUGGAAUCGUGCUCGAUACUCUGUGAGGGGCCGGGGGAAAAAAUUGUUCGAUCUAUGCUUCUCGACAGCUUGCUGGGAACUGUGGAAGGAGAGAAACAAUCGUAUAUUCAGUGGACAACUUACUCGAAGCGACGAAACAGGAAUGAGAGUGGCUAACACAAUGAAUCUUUGCCAACAUGCGCUAGGAGUAUGAUUACAUAAAAGGGCGAACUUCCUUGUGGGGCGAAUUUCCAUGUGGUUCCUUGGACACUUUCGGGCAGCUUUCUACUUGUAUCUUUCUGUGUUUCUUCACGCACGCUUAUUCUUGUAUCUUUCGGCUUAAAGCCUCACGGCAACUUGGUCACAUCUGUAGACCCCUCAUCUUGUAACACAAAUAGGGUAAAUCCCUGUUUACUCAAAAAAAAAUAAUUUUCACCAACUAUUGUUAAAAGGCUUGCGCCCUAUGAUUUAAAGGAAAAUACAUAUACGUAUAGCACUAAUUAAGUGUAGUUAUAUGAAUAUUGAAUGAAAUUAUAUUAAAAGGAGUAGAUCAAAUCAUAUAAAAAAUGGAUAAAAUCAAAUGAAAAUACGAGAUAUAAUACAAUAUUAAAGGGUUCGAAUACAGUACAAAAACAUAAGCUAGUAGAUCAAGAAAUUGCUAACAUUACAUGCAAAAAAAAGGGCUUAGUACACUAUAAAAGCUAUUUUUUGAAAAUUAAAAUAGCUAGUCACUCUAGAUCAAAAUAUAAAAGGCAUUUUUUUAUAAUUUUUCGAACUUAUUUGAAUAGUGUUUACCCAUUAAAUUAACAACUCUGUCAAAUCAAACGUUAAAUUUGAGGUGACUUGAUAAAUGAGGAGAAUAUAGUAAAAUUUCAUAAAUUUUGGUUUGUGGUAAUAUCAAAUAUUCUAAAAUAUGUCUAAUGAUUUCGAUCGUCAAAUCAAACUCUUUAAAAUUGAUUUUGAGAAGAACAAGGUCCAACUCAAAUGUGAGGCCACGCAUUAUAUCACCGGAUGAUCUUAGACAGUUAUGUGAUUGGGCUGACUAGAAUGUCAUCGCGUAAAUAGGUGGAGUGAUACUAUAAAUAGUACCAUAUAGGAUAGGAACGAAAUUAUGAUGAAAUAUAUAAAGGCUAAAUUACAGAAAACCUCCCUGUAAUAACUUGCUUUUUCACUUCUCUCCCCUGACAUUUAAAAACCUACACUUUGCCCCCCUGUAAAAUGAGAAAUAUUCACAGGAGGGUUACGGUGUGUAAAAUGACCAUUUUGCCCCUCGCCAUUGUCGUCUUCUUUCCCAUCUUCCUCAGCCGCCCCUUCAUUCGGCCGCGAUUCCCACCUCAAUCGGCCGCAAUUUCUCUCCAUUUCCUUCUCUACCUGCUUCCCUUCUCCUCCUGCACCCUCGCCGCCCUCGAUUUCGGCGACAGUAGGAGAAAACCGAGGUGGGCGACAGUAGGAGAAGGGCAAAGAAGGCGAAGGCGAGGCGGCGGAGGACGGCGAAGGGGAUGUGGGUGAGGGCGAGGCAGUGGAGGACGGUGAGGCGGCUAGGCGGCGAGGCGGCGAGGCGACGGCGAGGUGGCGAGCCGGAGGGAGUCGAAGCAACAGGGAGAUGGCAGAGGGGUAUUUUCGGUAUAAAAAUAUAUUUUUUAAUGGAACCCUGACGGAAUUCUAACGGUAGGGGGUGAAGUGCACAUUUUUUAUUUUACAGGGGGGCAAAGUGUAGAUUUUUAAAUAUCAGGGAGGGAAAGUGAAAAAGCAAGUUAUUAUAAGGGGAUUUUCUGUAAUUUAGCCAUAUAUAAAUGACUAUGGACUCUAUUAAUAAUAAUUAAAUUUAAGUAUUUGUGCCGGUAAUUUAGACUUAAUAAAUUAUUAUUAUUAGCGAGUUGGACGUUACCUCAAAUUUUCUCAAAAGGUUGACUAAAUUUCAAGAAAAUGUGCAAUAAAAUAGAAUAUCUAUUAUUUUUUUUAAAGGAGGACUACUAAAGGCAUGGUGUGCAUCACGAUCGGAGCUUUACCUUUUAGCGGCAAUUUAAUGGUGGCAAUUUUUGAACAGCCUCCUCCUCCGAGAGCGCGGCGGCGUCGUCGUCGGCGGCGGCGCUCCGACGACCUCCCUCCGCCGCCACAUGCCAAUGACAGGGUCGGUGCUCCGCUAGGCGCCAAGGGCUGGGCCGACGAACCCGGGUUUCACUGGUGGAAGGAUAAAGAGGCCGAGAUCCUCAGCGACAUCGAGCCCAUCAUCGCCCGGGUUUGGUUAUUGUUUUCGUUUUGGAAUCUUGGCUCUAUUCUCUGCUACUAUUUGAGGAUCCUCUGCUUGCUUGUCUCUUCCCUUUUGCUAUGUAGGAAAGCUGAAAGAGAUCACAUUCUAGAAAAUUUGUAUUUGACCUGGCUCUGUUAUAUGCAUCUUUCACUUGAUCCAUAUUUAUACAAGCAAUUACAUACCUCAGUCUCACAUUUGUUCCAUUAUAGGAUUCACAAGGCAUCUUAAUAGAAGAGAACUCAAAUGGGUAUGUUUUCUUUUCAUAGAUUUCACAAGGAACAUCUAAUUCACCCACUGCAGAGAAGAACAAUAAUACAUUCAACAUAGGAAGAUACUGUAGAAAGCAAUGAGAAUAUUGAAAUGAUUGAUUAGAAUUUUGGACCUAUCUAAAGCAUUUGACACUAGAUUGAAGUUCUAGCAGUGAACUUCUCAUAUUUGACAUUUCCUCCGGCAAACGCUGUAUUGUUACGAAAAGUAUGCUGGCACUGUAUGGAAUACUACAAUAAACUGAAAUUAUGGCAAAGUAGAAGUUAUGGCACUGUAUGGAAGAUAGAAUUUAAGAUACCAUGAGUGGCAGCCAGAUAAACAUCUAGAGGGUAGUAAACUUUAUUCGAAGAAGACAGCACCUAUAUAUGUGAGCAGUUAUUUCAAAGAGAACUAGUGAACCACAUGAUAUGGUUGGUGCAUCUAGAUGGCUUCCAUAUUGCUUAACAAGAGAAUAAAAUCAAUUCCUACAGGUAUGAGACAAAAAAAUCAACUCCUAGACUCCUAAUAAUCAUUGCUGAUGGUCUUCGUUUCAGUAUAUAUAUGCAACUGAAACUGCAUUUUCGCCUAUAGCAGAUCCAUCUAGUCAUUAAUAAACAAAUCAAAGGAAGUAUUACAUAUAUUGGAGGAUAUCACAAUAUAAACAGCAUAUGAACUGAUCUACUUAUGCCAUGAGGGGGAGAUAUUGAAGACUAUUUAGAUAAUAAAAACGUAAAACUGAUAGAGCACCAGAGCAAUGAAAGCAAUUCUUCUUUUUUUUUUUUUUUUUUUUUGAUUAAACAGGGAUGAACCCUAUUUACAGAAGCGUUUAGACGAAAACAAAUCACGAGUAAUGAUACCCGAGCACACCCCCAUGCACGAUACAGAGAAUAUCCCAAUCCCACCCUCGGCACUAGCUCUAACAAAGCAGAUCCCGCGCACACCUCCAGACAAAAACACAAGCACACUAGCACAAGCACAACUAGCACACCUAUAACCUAGUUGACAGAGGUAAAGAACACCAUUUUCCAAUAAGAUACAGUUUGAAGAAUGUUUGAACCCAGUGUCUCGUAGCGGGUUCGACGAUUGUCGAAUAGUCUUCUAUUACGCUCCUUCCAAAUCUCCCAAUAGGCUGCUGCGAUUCCGAGGUCGAGAGUGGUUCGAUUUUCACCUGAGACCGUUCGCCGCAAUCGACGCCAUCGUGUUGCAAGUCCUUCAGUUGUGUUGCUUCUCCAAUCUAGGUUGAAAGUGAGUCUAUUUGUUAACCAAUCCCACACAGAAACUGCAUAGAAGCAGUAAUGCAUAAUAUGCUCGACGGGCUCCGCAUCGGAGUGACAGAGGGUGCAGAUUGUCGGGCCAUACCAACCAUGUUUGAGAAGGUUGUCAGCCGUAAGAAGUUUGUUCCGAUCAGCAAGCCAUAGGAAAAUCUUAACUCUGAGAGGAAUUUUGAGGUUCCAAAGGAAAGGGAAAUUGCAGUUGUUGAUGCCAUCAAACAAAAGAAAUUCUGCCGCGCUGUGUACCGAGAACUUUCCCGAGCUGUUCCAUCUCCAAGAUAGCUCGUCGUGUUUGUUGGUUGAGAGGACUAAGUUAUUAGACACCGCCGCUAAGUCAUGAAUUUCUGAUAGCUCUUGUGGACCGCUAAGAGAGUCGAACCCCAGAUUCGGCUGAUUAGAGAAGCAGCGACACCAGGUAUUGACUGUCAUAAUAGAAUUGGCAGAAGCAGCAUAGAGAAUAGGAAAGCGGUUUCUUAGUUGUAUGUCUCCACACCAUCUCGUGGACCAAAAGGGCGUAUCCUUAUCGUCGCCAAGGAUGAAAUCAACAGAGGUGAGGAAAGGGGCAUAGAGUUUAAGCAUGUAUUUCCAGAUCGGGCAGCAUCCGUAAGGAAUGAAGCUAGCUGAAGCAGCUGGUCUCCGUCUAUAGUGUUCCUGCUUCAAAAGCCGCACCCAUGGUAACGAGCCGCAGUUAUGGAACUUCCAAAGCCCCUUCAUCAAUAUGGCCGAGUUUAUAGUUUUAAGCUUGUAGAUCCCUAUCCCCCCCUGCUCUUUUGGGGCGACAUACAUGAUCCCAAUUAGCAAGACAAUGGAAACCGCUCGUAGUAGACUUGCCUUUCCAGAAGAAGCCUCGACGAAUCCUGUCGAUCGCACGCAUCACCCAAGCUGGAAGAGCAAAUGCGGAGCAAAAAUAAAUUGGCAAAGGCGGAGAGGACCGAGUUCAGCAGAAUUAAGCGCCCACCUCUGGAUAGAGUGGCACAUUGCCAACCGGACAAGAUCUCGUGUCCAAUGGCUACGGGAAGGGGAUGCAAACACGAAGUUCUUCCACCUCCGGGCUAGCUGCCACAGAAGCGCGAACUUUAUCUCUCAGCUUUCGGACGGUACACAUCCCCUAUCCUCUUCUGAUUCUAUUGCUAAUCACCUGCGCUCCUUCUACCUUAAUCUGAUUGGCUCCGAGCAACCACCCACCUCUUCUGUCAACUUUUCUGCUAUUUUCAACGAAGUAGGCUGCGACCUCUCCUCCCUUCACGGUCCUUUCUCGGUUGAAGAAGUGAAGUCUGCUAUCUUUGCUUGUGCACCGGACAAGGCUUCGGGACCGGACGGUUUCCCCUUGCUUUUCUACCACCGGUUCUGGUCAAUCCUGAAGAAUGAUAUCAUGGAAGUCUUUGACAGCUUCUAUAAUGGCUCAUCGGAUCUUCGUGGAAUCAGCACCAGCUGGAUCUGCCCGAUUCCUAAGAAACCGACGGUGUUGACGGCUAGAGAUCUACGUCCGAUCAGUUUAGUUUACAGCUUGGCCUAAAUACUUUCCAAAGUAUUGGCUUCUCGGCUUCAACCCUUCAUGAAUCAGCUCAUCAACCCUUAUCAGGCAGCCUUCAUCAAGGGCCGUUACAUUUUAGACAACUUCUGUUGUGCGCACAUCCUAACUCACCACCUCCAUGCCUCUAAACGUCAUGCGGCUCUCUUAAAGAUCGACUUCGAACGAGCUUUUGAUCAUAUCAACUGGAGCUUUCUCUUCGAUCUCCUCAACGCCAGGGGUUUUAGCGACAAGUGGAUUGGUUGGAUCAAAGCUCUCCUGAGCUCUAAUACGUCGGAUGUGCUCCUCAACGGUGAUCCGGGCAGGUCGUUCUCCUGCAAACGUGGGCUUAGACAGGGAGACCCUCUGUCCCCACUUCUUUUCGUACUUUGUAUUGAUGUGCUUUUCAAACUGAUCGAGAAUGCUGUCCGUGCCGACUGCAUCCCUGCCGUCGGAAUAGGUGAUGUUAAAAUUCACUCUCUCCAAUUCGCGGACAACGUCCUCCUCUUCUUUGAUGGCUCUAUCAGAUCUGCGGAUAUUAUAAGGAUUCUACUUGAAGCCUUCUCUGCAUGUUCCGGGCUCAAAAUCAACUUCGGCAAAAGCUCCUUGGCUCCGAUCAACCUCCCUACGGAACAGGCUGCUGCUAUAUCUAGUAUACUUGGAUGUCCUUUGCAGCAGUUCCCUUUGCCAUACCUUGGAUUACCUCUCUCCCCUAGGUCCCCUCGACGCGUCAAUUACCUGCCGAUCAUUGAGAAAAUCGAUAAUGAAAGCAAUUCUAAGUUAAGUCAAAUAAGACAAACUUUUUCGCUUUUCACUCAAACUAGACAUGGAAAACAUUGUUAGAUCUUGUAAAGCAACGACAACAAAACUAGUUAUAUGAUUUCAGUUUUCAUGAUGUUAGUUAAUUUUUUUUGUCCUUGUUGAGGGCUAAAGUGAAGCAAACAUGGAAGUUUUGGGAUCUUGAAUGUCAAACUUUAAGUUCAAGGAUCAAAAUGAAACUUGACCAAAAGUACCUGGAUUACUAGUACGAAUUAGUCAACUUUAUUAUAGUUAUACGACCUAUAUAUAUUAGUGCUAUUAUAUUUAUAUGUGGUACAUAUCUUACAGUUCAAUAUUAUGGAAGAACCAAGAAAACUUUCAGGCUGCGUUUGAUUGGAGAACUAAAUUUUGGAGAACAACUUUUGUUGUUCCCGAGAACAAGGGAUAUUCUGGUACAAGAUAGAACAAUUGUAAAUUUAUGUUUGGAUGCAUUCGAGGAUAUUCUAAAGGAUAUCCUUAAUAGCGUUUGGAUAAAAAGUCUAGAACAACGUCUAAAUAUAUUUUUAAAAAUAAAAUAAUUAAUUUAUAUUAGUAUAUUUUAUAUAAAAUUAUUUAUAAAAUUAUUUCAUAUAGUAAUUUAUAAUAUAAUAUUUUAUGUAAGAAUCUAAUUUAAAAUAAUAUAUUUUAUUUUAUUAUAUAUAAUAAUUUAUUUUAUGUAAUCAUUUAUUUUAUAUAAUUUAUUCAUAAUAUAUUAAUGAAUAAAGUAUAAUACUAACAAUAUCCCUAUAUUUUUAAUUAAUAAUUAGUAUAAAUUUCAAUACAAAUAAAAAAAUAUAUAUAAUUAAAUAUUAAAGUAUAAAUGAUAAAGUUUAAUAAAAUAAAAAAUAUAUCAAAUUUAAUUAAUUUAUAUUAUAUAAUAAAAUUUAAGUAUAAAUAUAUUAUCAUAAAAAUUUAAGUAUGAAUUUCAAUACAUAUUAAAAUAUAUAUAUAAUAUAUGAAAAAAUAAUUUUAUGUAUAUAAUACUUAAUAUAAAAUAAAAUAAUUAAAUAUUAAUAUAUAAAUGAUAAAACUUAAUAAAAUAAAAAAUAUAUCAAAUUUAAUUAAUUUAUAUAAUAUAAUAAAAUUUAAGUAUAAAUAUAUUGUCAUAAAAAUAAUAUUUAUAUUAAUAUAUGUAUUAUUUAUUAAAUUUGAGCAUUUAUUUAAUUUAUUUGAAAUUAAUUAAAAUAAAGUAUAAAAAAAAUAAAAUGGCAUAAAAAGAAAAAAAGAGACAAAAAAAAUAAGUUCCGGCUUGUUCUCCAUUUCAUGGAGAACAAUCUUAACGGGUUGUUCCCGGAACAACCCGUUAAGCCUGGAACAACCGGGUUGUUCCAUUUUGCAUUGCGUUUGGAGGGACAACGGGGAUAUCCGGCCUUGUUCUGAGAUAUACUUCCAACCAAACGCAGCCUCAGUGAU